RNAcentral lists this long non-coding RNA (47080 nucleotides) under Elaeis guineensis (African oil palm). RNAcentral's name for it is "long non-coding RNA (EGUI_LNC001648)". The record is from RNAcentral. Lineage: Eukaryota; Viridiplantae; Streptophyta; Magnoliopsida; Arecales; Arecaceae.
GCUGCAUGAAUAUAUGUGUGCACCUAGUGGUCGACUAUGAGGCUCAAACAUUUAUGGGGACUUCAAUUGGCCCAACGCUGAACACAAGCAGGUACAUAUGUAGCAGCAUGGACCGCAAUUUAGAAAAUAGAUCCUCAAGUAAUAUAUAUAUAUAUGUAUGUAUAAUGUGUGUGUAAUGUGUGUGUGUGUGUGUGUAUAUAAUGUAUAUAUAUGUAUAAUGUAUAUAUACAUACAUACAUAUACAUAUAUAUGUAUAUGUAUAUAUGUAUAUAUGUAUAUGUAUGUAUAUGUAUGUAUAUGUAUGCAGAUAUAUAUAUAUAUAUGUGUGUGUGUGUGUGUGUGUGUGUGUGUGUGUGUGUGUGUGUAUAAACACUUAGAUUAUUAUGUUCAAAUUCUUAUCAAACAAGAAAACAAUGUAUUGAACUCUAAAUUGGUGCAACACAUAAUUUGCUAGUGAUCUAUUUUUAAAAAGAAUAAAAUUUUCACAUUUCAACACAAAAUCGCCAUAGCAAUUCAGCUAAAAGUCCAAAACAAUAAGAUAUACUCUCGAGUGAAUUAUAUUUUUCUUUGCUCUCCUGUUUUUGUAUUUAAAUUCUCUUUUAUUGGUUGAGACCUACUAAACUGCAAAACAACCAAAACUAAACCUAAGUUGCCAGGUUAAAAUAAAACUAGGUUUCAAACAUUGCUCAUAAGUGUUUUGUUUGCAUAAAACAAAAUAGAAAGAGCAUACACAACCCAAAAACUCAAAUACAAUUGACUGACAAAUGAAAGAUAAAUUAUUUGCAAUCUAAUCAUAUCAGAAACAUGUCCAUAAAAUUGCUAAAAAUGCCCACAUGUACUAAAUUGUCCACAUCAUCGGAUUUAGAACAUUACCUGUGCAGAACAAUAAGUUCUGGGAAAAAUUUUCAAUGAAAAUUCCAUCAUAUAUAGCUAGAACUGCCUUCAUAAAAAUAAUGAUGAUGCCAUACAUUCCAGAAGCUUAAAUUCUCAAAACUCUUGGAAUAUCAAGACUUAAGAAGACUUGGACAUGAUAUGACACACACAGGCACCAGAAAAGUUAAAUGUCCUAUUUAUUUCAGCAAGAACCAAGGAUUCAAGUACUGGCAUCAAAGGGCAUGUUCUCCAAUGGUUGGCUCUGCACUGAAUCUAUUGAGUAUCAACCUAUGUCCAUACACUGCAAUACGGAGGGCAUGACACAUGCAGCAUCGAAUCAAUCAAUAUCCAGUUCAGCACAAGCUCAGUAUGAAACAACUGACACAAACCGACACAUUAACCCUUCGCAAGAACUAUUGCCACUUGGCUCAAAAUUCUCAGUUCCUAUCAAGAGCCACUUCAGUAUGACAAUUUAAUUCUUAACUAUCCUGUCAAAUGACAUAUUAGUGAAAGUCAUGACAACGGUUUGUUUGGUUGGGGGUUUGUGUGUGUGUGUGUGUGUGUUUUCUUUUUUCCCUUUUUGCUUGGUUUAGGGGGGGGUGUGGUGAAAGAUUAGGAGGGGCUCAUCUACCGUAUACCCACCCCACUUGUCAAGGGCAAACUCCAACUGGAAUUUAACCCCUGCCCCCUUGCCCAACUGGCGGGAGCUGAAACCAUCCAAGGAAGCGCACAAUGGUAUGACAGUGGAAAUCUUGACUAUCCUAAAGACUCAUUUGGUUGACGGAAAGUGGAGGGGGGAAGAGGCACUUCCUAGGAAGUAGAGAAGGGACCUCUUGUUUAGUUGGAGUUUAAAGAGAGAGAAUGAAAAAAGCUCUUCUCAUGAGAAGUCAGUUCCCACAUUUCAUGAAAAGUGAAAACCUAUGGGAGAGGUGGAUUUUAGCACUUCCCAUGGGAUGGGAAGUAGUGCUACUUUUUUUUAUUUCCCAAAAUACUCAUUUAGAUCCAUGGCUAAGAUUUUGCAAAAUAUCAAUAGAUGGUUAGGAUAAAAUAUUGAAUAGUGAUAUAAUAUUAUAUCAAUAUUAUCUUAAUAUUUAUAUGAACAUAAUAUUAAUAUUAUAAUAUUUAUUAUAGUAUAAUAUUAUUUUAAUAUUUAUACUAAUAUAAUAUUUAUAUUAAUAUUAAUAUAAUAUUUAUAUUAAUAUAAUAUUAUAUUUAUAUCCAUAUUAAUAAAUUUAUUAUAUUAAAAUAUUAAUAUUAUGUUAAUAUAUAUUAGUAUUAUAUUAACAUAAUAAAUUAUUAUAGUCUAAUAUUAUAUUAUAAUAUAUUAAUAUUAUAUUUAUAUUAAUAUAAAUAUAAUAUUUAUAUUUAUAUAAAAUUUAAGAGCAAAAAAAAAAAGAUAUGAUCUUAUAUUUACUCAAGAUAUAAUAGGUAUUUUACAUAGUUUUUUCAGAAAAAUGGGUGCUUAACCAAAUAUAAGUUAUUCUGCAAUAAGUCAUUUUUUCAUGGUCAACCAAACAUGCCAAAAUCCUAUUCUCAGGAAAUAACUUCCCAAGAGGAAGUUAUUUCUUGAGAAGAAAAAUUCUUUCUACGAACUAAAUGAGUCCUAAAUAUUAAAUAACACUAUCUUAGAAGGUCUGAUACUUUGAGUAAAACUCCACAUUUUCCCAUCUUUUUCAUAACUGUGAUACACACAAAACGGAUUUUUUUAUAAGAAAUAUCACUAACUAGACAAUGUAGCAUACACAACAACAUACCUUGUUUAUAAUUAUCAUACAUAUUUCUACUUUAUGGACGUAUCCUCAUUUCAGGAUUUUUCAGAAGAAAUGUUGGACACUUUAGAAAAUCUGGAUAAUUGGAAUUGGCAUGAAGUGCCAAGUAACACUCUAAACCUGAGCCUAUUCAAACUUUACAUCACCUGCACGUCUUACCAUCCACCUAGUCAUAUUUGAGAUCUUCAUAUACUAUUAAAAGGCUCAAGAGCUAUAAAGUCAAUAAUUUUAACAAAUUUUCAAUCCAACAAACCAAAAUUCUCAAGUCAAAAAUUAGUUAAAUGUAGUUCCAGUCACAGGUUAUCCAUGCUGGACUUACACCAUACAAGCUUAAUAGGGAUAGGGCUCAAGCUUGGUUUGUUCAUGUUGCUGCACUAAUUACAUUCGAAGUAUGUUUAAUGCUGCUUCAGCUUUUCCAGAGGGGCUGUUUUUAAAGCACUUUUAUGACAGCACUUGAAAAAGUUUGUUUCAAUAGCUUUACAUCCUUUAAUAGACUUAACAGACUUAAGCAAAUCAAACAUUUUUAUCUCUUAAAUCUAGAUGAUGCGUUUUGGCACAACACAUGAUAUCAUAUUCUAGGUCCAGGUUGGGUGCAAGAUGGCUCAAUUAAAUUUGACUUCUCCAAAUACAUUUGCACCACCAAUAUAUUUGCUCUGACACCAGACAUACUCAUUAUUCCUAUGUAAACAACACAUAUGCUUUGUAUAAACAUAAAUGAUAAAUCAGAAGCUAGUUUUCCUCCUCUUCUACAACUUUUUACUUUUGCACAAUAUGAGAAGCCAUUUUAUGAAGCACAGCAAAAGACCCCCUACACUCAAGAAGAGUUAAUUUUUGCUUUAAAAUUUAUAAAAUGACUUUUUUUGAGAAAUAACAAAAACACACCUAAAUUACGAACUGAUAAGAUUUUAUAAAGAAAUCAUAGAUCACGAUUUUCAAAUGUACAAUAAAAAUAAUAAAAUAAUAAAAGCACUUAAAUUUGCAUCUCCUUAAUAUAAUUUUUCUACCCUAAUAAAAAUACAAGCACGUGUCUUACAUCAACAUUUGAUUAGCUGCAAAAAGAAUCCUAAUCACAAAAGAACUUCUAUAACCUAGUGGAACGAUAAAUAGUGUACAAAGCGUAUCCAUUAGAGAAUAUUAAAUACUCUCCAUGAGUGCAAAAGCUUCUCCAUGGUCAACAGCAGCAAAAGACAGAGACAUAAUUGACAUAUUACAGAAGAAACAUGAGAAAUAUCAAGUGGGCAAACCUGCUCGUUAGCAGUAGGAGAAAGGCCUCCAACAUAAACACGCCGAGCAUGUCUAGUUGCCUGGUGAUCACAAAAAAAAUUUCAGACAACAGAAUAUCAUGAUCAGCUUAAAUGAUCAAGCAAUUUAGUUAAUCAUAAAACCUGUUGCGUCAUUGCCUGAUAAGGCAUCAAAGAGAGAGCUGACAACUGCAUGAAUACAGACAAACAUAUGAAUACAUGAAUAAUUUAUAUUCAUAUGGAACAAAAAAACUAAAAGAAAGCAUAAACCUGUCCAGGUGUUGAUGGAAACAUGUUUGGAAAAAUCCCAGGACUAGCACUUGUGGCCCCUGUCAUCUGACCUGCAAAAACAACAAAAUUAGAACAAAACACAACACACAAGCCUAUCACAACAAGCAGCAGAAAUGUAUGAAUGGCAUCAUCUUUAUAAACCACCAGUAAUAAGAGAUAAACCCAGGCCCCAUCAAAUUUAUCAUCUAUAGGGUAUGCAUGUACUGGAGAAAAUAAUUGUAAGAAUACCAAAAAUGAAUAGUUGCCUUUUGAAGGUGAACAAGAACCAUCAAACCAGUGCAUUGAUUCCAAAAAAGCUACAGUAGUCAGCUCACGCCCAUUGGCAGCAUGGUGGGACAAGCGACCCAACAUUGCCUUCUUAUAACAACUUACAUGCAAAAAACAAACAAACCACCACCAAAAAAAAAAAGAACAACAAAAAGUGCACUCAGUUUCCGAACAAAAUCAGAAGGUGGAAAAUUGAAAACAUAACUAGUCACCAAGUAUAGCAGUUCUAAGUGAAUUUGAAAGUCACUAAAACAGACAUUAAAAUGACUAGCGCUUACCGAGCAGAAUAUGCAUCUAAAUAUAAAUGUUCCGAGGUAAACACAAGAAAAAGAAAGCAAAAGUAUAGACACCAAGUGAUUUCUUUGGUGGUGGCAUACCUGCAACGACUGCAGCAGGUAUCAUAGUAGCUGCAGGUGGCAUGUCAAAACCACUGAUACGUUUGCUGCAUUUGGAGAAAAAAAUAAAUAUCAUCAUUUAACGGAUCCAUAACAACAAAAUACUCAAAUAACUAAUUUAGAAAACUAGCAAAUUACAUGAUAAUAAUGCUCCAUGAAGCAAAAAGAAUGAGCAACAAAAAAAGGAUAAGAACAAACAAACAAGGUUCAGAAACUAGCCUAUAAACCGCAUCCAUAAGCAACAGGUUGUGACUCAGCAGUUUUAGUGUCAUAGAUCUUGCUUCUCCUUGUCAAGAGCAUAUUUAUCAAAAAUCCCUUUUUUAUGGUUGCAACCAAUCCCCCGACCACAUCAAGGGGAUCGAGCUGAGUAAUUGGUGAAUGAUCAAAAAGAUAUAUCCAUGGCAUAUUCAUUUUACAGUGAAUGCUUCUCACAGGCUGAGAUGAUGGUAAUGUGAUAGGGGCUUGUGGUGGGCCUGGUGGCAAUUUAAAUUGCAGCUCUAGAAUCUUAGCUCUAUGAUGGCUUGGGCACAGAUUCAACCUGACAGCCAGGUUUGCCUCACUUGUGAUUCAGAACAACAGCACCAACUUGGUUGGAAGGCGGGAAAGGUGAAAACCUCUCAUAUACAAGCAAGGGAACCAGCAAAUAGAGUGGGUGCUGAGCAAUUAUAACAAGAAUAGUAAGAUUUUCAAAAAUAAAAAGGAAGCACAUGCGCAAACAGAAGGAUAGGAAAGUGUGCAUGCGAUAUUUUCCUCUAACAAUCUUCAAGAUGGUUAGACAAGAUCUGAUUAUAUAUCACUAUAAAUGUUAAUUUUUUGUACCUGAAUGAAAGAAACUAUCAUAGACUUGCUUAGUUCAAUGAUAAAAGAUGCCUCUUCAACAUGAUAAUGCCUUAAAACUUUCAUAAUAUGAUACUUUCAUGUUCUCUAAGGGGAGCAAAAAAAAGCUAGCCAAAACAUUACAUGAUUAUUAUAAGCACCAAGCAAAUACCUUAAAUUCAGACAAUAACAAUUAAAUAGUGAACAAAUGAUUCAUAACCUCCAAAUUUCACCUUUUCAUUUUCUUGUCCUGGAAAUGCUUGUGUGGUUGCAUUAUAUAUCUUUUAAAGCUCCAGACUGCCUUAUCAUCCGAGGUAGCCCUCUAUCAUGCUACUACUGCCAAAUGACUUAUCCUAUCAACUUAUCAUAUUAGUCACAAAAACAUAGCGUCACUGAUUUAUCUUGACAUUUAAGAGAUUUCCAUGUUAAAGAAUCUGGAUAAUAUAUAAAAGAGAAAAUCUAAUAUAUGCUCACAGCACUGAACAUGAACUCCUUUUACUGAAACCAAUUUUUCAGAUUAUUCCUCUAUCUUGUAUACGUUGCAAUUAGUCUCCCAAUUCUAGUCUUUUCCCCUCUCAACAUUGCCUUCUCUUCUUCCCCUCAUUCCUCCUCUCCUCUUCCCUUCUCCUUCAUUUUCUCCUCUUCCUCUUCCGCUUUUACCCUAUUCAUCCCUGCACCUGACCCUCAAGACUCCAACCUCACACUCAGCUAAUCUAGCUCAGCGCACACUCCCCUUGACCUCCUCUCUUACUCCCUCUGCUCUCAUCCAAUCAUCACCUCCUCUUCCACGGCUCACUUCAUUUUCCUUCUCUUGCAAUCCCCUCAUCACCCAAGGCCUGCAACUUGGUCCUGUCAUAAUUCCAGGAUUAGCAAGCCUAGGCUGGGCACAAGCUGCAAUUGUUUAACCUCAUUGGCAACUUAGAUGUAUUCAAGUAAUUUCCUAUUUCCUUUGUUAGAAUCAUUGUAUGCUACCAACUCUUGAAUUCCUUUUCAGUAUCCUCAAGCAUUACCAUUUGCCAAUCUACAGAUGUUAUAGACUGUACACCAUGUUUGUUAAAAAAGACCAAAAAGUGUAUGGACUGAGUAAAAGGGGGAAAAACAAAGAUAACCUUUGAACCUCGCAUCAAGGAUGCAUGUAUAUUUGUGCAUAUACAGAACAUAAGCAAACACCAAAAAAAAAAUAUGGACUUGAAAUGAGGUUCACAUGUAUACCAUAGGAGUUCUAUACUACAGUAUGACACCACAAUGGAAUAGUCCUUACAUUGCACUACACAGACACAUGAGCUUUUUAAGCUAGAAGUUAAGGGCUUGCUUGGACAUUACAUGACAUAUCCUUAAAUUGUGAAUGAUUCUCUGGGACAACAGUGCAAAUGCUGCAAUGGAACAGCGCUAAUAUCACAUUACACAAUAUGUUCUUUGAAACAGAAGUGCUUAGUUAGACAUCCUAUGAGAGAUCCUAAAGUUAGCACUAAAGCUUAAAACCAAAUAAGUUGCAAAUAAUGUAAUACAAGAUUCCCAUAACAUAACCAGCCCUUUAGAUGGUAGAUUUGCCUAUAAAUAACUAUUUUGUUUCUUUUUUUCCUCUCUCAAUGAAAGUGAUUGACCAUGCCUUCUUCACCAUAGCUAUCUGAAAGUAUGAUAAAUUCCCUUAUCAUGACAGAAAUCAUAGGCAACCUCAUGUAUAGAAGCAAGACUAAAAGCAUAUGUUUUCAAACCUUAACUAGCAUAAAUCAUGGACACAAGCCUGUUGGUUAUUUGCAACUUACCUCUUUGACCUUGAGCGGGAACGAGACCUCGAUCUAUGAUCAGAUCUACCUCUCGACCGAGAUCUAUGAUGAGAUCUACCCCUCGACUGAGAUUGAGACCGAUGUAUAUCGUACUCAUCUCUGUCUCUGUCGUAAUCCCUAAACCUGAAGCACAGAGAGAAUUAAUAUAAUUACAGCAUUAAAAGAAGGAAUCAGCACUGAUGAUAAGACAAUAAUUGGUUAGAAACAAGCUAUGGAACUAGGAAUGAAGAACAACUGGCAUCAAGAUUUUAGCAAAACAAUAAUCCAGAAAAUCAUGCAUGCCAUUAUAUAUAGAUGCAUAACAUACCUACAUCUAGAAAAGUCGAAGGUGUAUCAUAGCAGGUAAGAUUUACAUAAUAGAACACAAACUUGUAGCAAUAGAAGGUUCAUGUAUAAUAAAACCACUUAACAAUAAAGAAUAACCAAAGUAUACGAGGUGAAGACAAAAAUCUUAACAAGAAAAAUGAAGUUCAAAUGCAGAACACGAGGUAUCAACUCGUUCUUUGACAUUUUUAACUAAACACAAGGUUGAAAGCAAUUAGAAUGCUUAAAUAAACUAUUUAUGCCUGGCAUAUGAAUUAUUGGUAGUGCAACGCAUUAUCAUUAUAAUAUGACAAAUAUAAAGUUAUGACUUCCUGCAUAAAAAACAGUCAGUGUACCUUUCAUGAUCUCGGUUACGGUAAUGAUCAUGAUCAUCAGAUUUCCCGCGGCUGUGCUCCCUCCUUUCACUUCGAUCCCUAUGAUCCCUGUGAUGACGAUCACGGUCCCUAUCCCUAUCUCGUUCCCUAUCUCUCUCCCUUCCCUCAUCACGUUCCCUGUCCCGUUCUCGUCCUCUAUCCUUCUCCCUCCCCUUAUCUCUCUCCCUGUCUCUGCUUUUCGAAGAACCUCUUUCAUGCUCAUGAGUAUUGCUCUGCAAUCACGUGAAGAUGUUAACGGGGAUUAAAAGGAACCGAAGCCCGACAAAUGCUAUAAAAUGAAUUAGACCAUGAAACCCUAAAAUUUUAGAAGAUUCUCGAGGGGGAAACCAAUACCCGAGAAUUCUUAUAAAUGUUCUCCAAGACCCACCCUAAGGCGAACCUUCUAUUGACUCAAUAAACAAGAUCAAAGGCAAAAGUAAUUCUUGCAGGAAAAUAAACUAAAAUUUCCAUCCAAAAAACCGACUGAUCCUAUUAAUCGAAUCGAAGUACAAACCCUAAAUCCGAUCAAAACAAUCAAGAAUCUCAAGUUUCCUCUCAAGACAAUCAAAUCCACCAAAUACUAAAACAAGAUUCAAAGUUCCCGGAAAGAAAUCGUUCUAAUCCAGCAUUGACUCUGGAUAACCAAAUCGAUGCACGGAUUCCAGAAAAAUAACGCAUCUUUACCAAAUCCCCAAGGGGAAACAGAAAGAAAGAGGAGGGGAGCGAAGAGACCUCGGACUUGGAGUCUCCGUAGCCCGGCAUGUUUCCAACUUCUUCCCUUCUUCUACCUAUCUCGCUCUUGUUCUCUCUUGUCCUCUUCUCUCUCGAUCGCGAGCGAGCGACAGCGCUUGGUGGGCAAGGAGACGGCGUCGGCCCGAUGGGCUAUCGAAUACGAUAACCGGGGGCCACAGUAUAUGCCUAUAUAUAGCGCGAGAGCCCUCUCUAUAGAGACGCCCGUUUUUGUUAAACACACCCAGGUAACUGAUUUGGAUUUGUUUGGCCAUGAAGAAAUAACAGCAGUGCGAUCUUAAACACUACGCAAGUGUAGGACUUCCGUUCUUCUCAUGAUACCCCUAUCUUUUUACAAUAUUUUAAAAUUUUUGGCUAUUUCAAGAACACCGUUGGUAAAGUUUCUGUCACUUAUUCAUCACAAUCUAAAGCUUCUUCUUUAUCUCAAGGUUCACAAUUCCUCUCAUUUAGCAAUGACAAGCUUUUUGCGACUCAUGGACGUACUUUCUUGAAAUACCUACUAUAACGUUUUAAAUAUUUCCCCUCAUUGGAAUAUCUCUUUUUCCUAAAAUACCCCUAUGAUAUUUUGAUUUUUAUUAUGAAUUAAAACUCUUAAUACAUAGAAACCGCAUGAUAUGGCAAUUACAAUUUGUUCUUUUGGAACUAUACAGUGAACAAAUUAUGUGUGACCCAUAACUUUAUGACAUCGGUUGCAAAGUAAUCACAUCUUUAUUUUAUCUUAUUCUAAUCUAGAAGAGCAAAAAAAACAAAAAAAAUCAGGGUUCUAAAAUUAAAAGCAACUCCAUCCCAACAAGAAAACAUUGCCAAAAUGAAAAAUAAUCUCUCGACUUGAGAGCUAUCUCAUGACUCUUUAAGCCAAGAGAUAAUCAAAAAGAAUUUGAAUUUAUAGGAUCAUCUCUCUACUGCUUAAGCUUGUUUUAAAAAAUAGCUCAAUAUACACGGGAUCUACAUUAUGGAUUUCUAUAAUUAAUUUUUUUGUCAUUAUUAGUUUUUGUUUUCCAAUUUUCACAAUUGCUGCACUAUAAUGGUUUAAUGAUCUCUGAUUUACCAAAAAGAAUCAUUUAGAACAUUUUCGAAUAGAAAAAGAAAAUUUUAAAAUAAAAAGAAAGUGAAGUUCUAAACUAUGCAUUCAGUAUGCGUUACAGGUAUGUCAAGAUUUUGAUAAAGAAAUAGGUAUCUCAAGAUUUUGAUAAAGAAAUCUUAGAUGAAGUCUCAAAGUCCACAUGACUGCAGGCAUCCAAGGUCUUUCCAGGCACAUUGUAUAUCACUACAGGCUUCAGCCCAUGGGCAUGAACUAUAGACCACUUGGGGUUCUGAGCAACCCUCCAAGCAAUUGUUCCAACUCAUCGUCAACAAUUGGCAUUAGCCUCAUGAAAAAAUGAGAGACUUUGAGACGGAACCCAGAUUGAUUGAGAACAUGUAAGUAUUGGAUUAUGGUCCCUCCUAUGUAGAGUGGGAUUGGUUUUGCUGUCAUCUUUGGUAAUCCAACAGAUUUUUUAUCAUGGUUCUUAGAACAAUCCACGAUAAUAUUUGGGAAGAGUUGUGACUCUUAGUCUUUCCUAUGAGCAUUUAUUGGUUCAAGUCCCAAAGAGUUUUUUCAUCCAAAAAAAAUCAUUAUAUGCUGACUUUGGUGAUUAUAUAUUUAGGUUUGGGUGAGGUAUUUUUGUUCCAAACUGAGAGAAAAAGAGAGAUACAGCAAGAGUAAAAGAAAGAAAAAUUCUAUUGAAUUAGGAUCUGCGUAGCUUCUGUUUCGAGAUUGAUCGGACGGUAAUUUUUUCUCUUCUUGAGCUAAAAUUUUGAAAAUCCGUUCCUAACUUCUAGUUCUUCGAAUCCAACGAUUGGAUUGUGCAUUGAGGCUCCGUAGAUUAGUAGGUAUUCAGUUUAUGUGCUUGCUAUUUUUUUGAUAUUAUCUCACCAUUCUCUUGAUACAUUUACUUGGUAUUGUAAGGAUUAUUUGCUGAGGUGUUGUCAAGGUUUGUGGUCCUUGAAUUGUAGACCUUAUAAUCCUUAUUUGAGUAUAGUGAAGUUUGGAACUGGACCGAAAGGCCCCGUGGUUUUUUCCUUCGUAUUAGAGGGUUUUUCACGUAAAAAUCGAUGUUCUUUUGUGUAUGAUUUUCUUGUUUGUUUUUUGCUUAGUAUUGGUUUGACUCUAUCGGCUAGUUUGCUUUCUCAUAUUUCAUAAUCUCAUACAAGUAAGAGAGUUUUUGAUUUCGUUGUAUUAUCUGUUCUCUCAACAAGUGGUAUCAGAGUCAGAUUUGCUUCGAUUGCUCUGAUCUCUUUUGAUAGUUUGUCUUGUGUGCAGUUAUGAAGGUGAACACUAGUAGGAUGAUUAGCUUGAAUGGUAGCAAUGAUCAAGUUUGGAGGGGGAAGAUGUUGGAUUUUCUCUAUUGUAAGAAUUUUUAUCCUCUGAUGGUUGAUAAAGCUAAGCCCGAUAAUAAGAUUGAUGAUCAAUGGAAUGCUUUCCAUAGACAAGUUUGUGGUUAUAUUCGUUAAUGGGUUGAUGAUAAUGUUUAUAACCAUAUUAAUGAUGAAACUGAUAUAUGCAAGCUAUGAAAGAUGCUUGAGGAUCUAUAUGCUAAGAAGGCCAGCAGGAACAAAUUAUAUUUGUAUCAAAAUUGAUGAGUUUAAAAUAUAAAAAUGGUACUCAUGUAGCUGAUCAUUUGAAUGAAAUGUAGGGCAUUAUAAAUCAAUUGAGUUUCCUGAAGAUUACUUUCGAUGAUGAGUUGCAGGCCUUGGCAUUGUUGAGUUUUUUGCCAAAUAGUUGGGAGAUUUUUCGAGUUUUCUUGACCAAUUCAGUCCCUGAUGGAGUUAUCUCAUUUGCUGGGCGAAAUCUGGUGUGUUGAAUGAAGAGUUGAGAAGAAAGAUCAUUGAUUCCUCAUCUUUUCAUUCAGAAGCUUUCAUCAUAGAAAAUAGAAAAAGAAGCAAAAGCAAGGAUCCUCACAGCCGUGGCAAGUCUCGAAGCAAGUCUUGACCAAGGAAAGAUGUUUAGUAUUUCUAUUGUGAUAAUAAGAGGCAUAUCAAGAAACAUUGUUGAAAAUUGAAGAAGGAAAGGAAGGAUAAAGGAACUGAUGACAACACUAAGAAAGAAGAUGAUAAAUCUAUUCUCACUGCAGAAAACUUUUUUGUUAUUUUUUAUGAAAAUUUUGUUAAUGUUUUCGUAAUGAUCAAGUUGGAUCAUUGAUAGUGGAGCUUCUUUGCAUUGUACCUCAAGAAAGGACUUCUUUUCAUCUUAUACAUUUGGUGACUUUGGUGUGGUGAAGAUGGGCAAUGAUGGAUCAUCUCCGAUUGUUGGUAUUAGUGAUAUUUUUUUAGAGAGCAAUAAUGACAGCCGCUUGAUACUUAAAGAAGUGAGGCAUAUUCCCAACGUCAGGCUUAACUUACUUGUCACUGGGAAGCUUGAUAAUGAAGGGUAUACUUGCAAGUUUGUGGAUGGUCAAUGGAAGCUUACAAAAGAAACUAUAAUUAUGGUCCGAGAAAAGAAGAGUACUACACUCUAUUUGAUGCAAACCAAAGUAUGCAAAAGCUUGGUGAAUAUAGUGGAGAAUGAUGAUGGCUCCGAGAUAUGGCACAAGAGACUCGAGCACAUUAGUCAAACAUGUAUCGAUCACUUGGCUAAGAAGAAUUUGCUCCUCAAGAUCAAAGGUAUACCAUUGAAGUCUUGUGUAGAUUGCUUGAUAGGUAAAUAGCAUCGUGUUUCCUUUAAAUAUGCUCCACCUUCUAGGAAACAAAUUAUUUUGAAUUUGGUGUAUUCAGAUUUAUGUGGUCCUUUUAACCAGCAAAUACUUGGUGGUUCUCGUUACUUUAUUACUUUAUGAUCACUUUCGAAAGAUUUGAGUUUAUACAUUGAGAACUAAAGAUCAAGUUUUAAAUGUAUUUAAGCAGUUUCAGUUAAGUGUUGAGCAGGAGACCAAAAAGAAGAUCAAGUGUGUUCGGUCUAAUAAUGGAGGAGAAUACAUAGGAUCUUUCGAUAAGUACUGUAAAAGUCAAGAAAUUCGGCACCAAACAUCUCCACCCAAGACUCCUCAGCUUAAUGGGUUGGCAGAAUGGAUGAACAGAUCGAACUCUUGUUAAAAGAGUAAGAUGCAUGCUAUCUCAUGCUAAGUUACUAAAGUCAUUUUGGGGUGAGGCUUUGAGCACUGUUGUUUAUGUUUUUAAUCUUACACCUUAUAUUCCCUUGCAGUUAGAUGUGCCACAGAAAGUUUGGAGUGGUAAGGAUGUAUCGUAUGAUCACUUGAAGGUGUUUGGAUGCAGAACCUCUGUACAUGUUCACAAGGAUGAGAGGUCAAAACUUGAUCCAAAAAUUAAGGAGUGUGUCUUUCUUGGAUAUGGCUUGGAUGAUUUUGGCUACAGGUUGUAUAAUCCUACUACAAAGAAGAUUAUUAGAAAUCGAGAUGUUGUUUUCUUUGAGGAUCAGACCGUUGAAGAUAUUAGCAAAGCUGUUAAGAUGCCCAAGUUACAUCAUGAUGAUCUUGGUGACCUCAAUCCUACUCCUCCAUCAGCUUUUGAUACUCAAGUUGAGCAUAAUGAAACAAAUGAUGCUAGCAAUACUGAUGAUGUUGGCAACUUAGAUUCUUCUAUAGAUAAUGCUGAGGUACUACCAGAGAAAGUUUCUUUGAGGAGAGAUAUUAGAGUGCAUCAAUCUUCAACCAGAUAUCCUUCUUCAGAGUAUGUCCUGUUGAUUGAUGAGGGAGAGCCAGAGUGCUACCAGGAGGCUAUCUCAGGUGAGCUAAAGACAGAGUGGUUGAAGACUAUGCAGGAAGAGAUGAAGUCCUUACAUGAGAAUAAUACCUAUAAGUUGGUGAGACUGCCAAAGGAAAAGAAAAUCUUGAAGAACAAGUGGGUGUUCAGAUUGAAGACACAGGAGCAUACUUCACACCCAAAGUACAAGGCAAGACUUGUUGUUAAAAGUUUUGGUCCAAGAAAAGGAGUUGACUUUGAAAAAAUUUUCUCUCUAGUUGUAAAGAUGUCAUUCAUCAGAGUUAUACUAGGUUUGACAGCUAGUUUAGAUCUUGAGAUUGAGCAGAUGGAUGUAAAGAUCAAUUUUCUUCAUAGCGACUUGGAGGAGACCAUUUACAUGGAGUAGCUUAAAGAUUUUCAGCUAAAAGAUAAGGAGAAUCUAGUUUGUAAGCUUAAUAGAAGCUUAUAUGGGCUGAAGCAAGCACCAAGACAAUGGUAUAAGAAGUUUGAUUUGUUUAUGGGGGAGCAUGGCUAUACGAAGACUUCUUUGGAUCAUUGUGUAUUUAUAAAAUAUUUUUUGGAUAGUGAUUUUCUUAUUCUUUUGUUAUAUGUUGAUGAUAUGCUAAUUAUUGACAAAGAUAUGUCUAAAACUGAUAGGUUAAAGGAGGCUAUGAGCAAGUCUUUUUUGAUGAAGGAUUUGGGGCUAGUGAAGUACAUCUUUGGAAUGAGAAUCACCCAUGAUAGAAAGCCCAAGAAGCUAUGGUUAUCAUAGGAGAAGUAUGUUGAGAAAGUGCUUGAGAGAUUCAAUAUGAGCAUAGCUAAAGCUGUUAGCUGUCCUUUGACAAAUCAUUUCAAGUUAAGCUCGAAGCAAAGUUUGUGUUUUCAAGAUAAAAAAGAUGAAUGAAGAAUGUUUCAUAUGCUUCUGUGAUGAAAAUUUUGAUGUAUGCCAUGGUUUACAUGAGACCAGACAUAGCUCAUGCAGUUGGAGUUGUUAGCAGAUUUCUCUCCAAUCCUGAUCGAGAGCAUUAGAAUACCGUCAAGUGGAUUCUUCGCUAUCUUCAAGGUAUUUUUAAGUUAUGUCUUUAUUUUGGAAGUAAUGUGCCAGAGUUGGUUGGUUUUACGAUGCAGAUUGGUCUGACGAUAUCAACUCGUGAAAGUCCACUUCAGGUUAUCUAGUUAACUUUGCAGGGGGAGCUAUGUCAUGGUAAUCAAAGUUGCAGAAAUAUGUUGCUCUUUCAACCACUGAAGCAGAGUUCAUCGCAGUUACUGAAGUUUGCAAAGAGAUGUUGUGGAUGAAGAGAUUUUUGCAGGAGUUAGGACUCAAGCAGGAGAGAUAUCAGUUGUAUUAUGAUAGUCAGAGUGCUAUUCACUUGAGCAAGAACUCCAUCUUUCAUUACAAAUCGAAGCACAUCAAAGUAAGGUAUCAUUGGAUCCGUGAUGUGUUUGAUAAGAAGCUGUUAGAGCUUGUGAAGAUCAUACUACUGAUAAUGGUACUAACAUGAUGAUAAAGAUUCUUCCAAAAGAGAAGCAUGAAGCUUGUUGCCGAAUUACGAGCAUGGUUGAGCCUUCCACAUAGUCAGGAGGGGGAGUUUGUUGGAUUAUGGUCCCUCCCUUAUGGAGUGGGAUUGAUUUUACUGUCGUCCUUGAUAAUCCAACAGAAUUUUUUAUUAUGGUUCUUGGAAUAAUGCAUGGAGAUACUUGAGAAGAGUUGUGACUCUUAGUCCUUCCCAUGAGCAUUUAUUGGUUCAAGUCCUAAAGGGUUUCUUCACAUGCUUACUUUGGUGAUUAUAUAUUCAGAUUUGGGUGAGGUAUUUUUGUUCCAAGCUGAGAGAAAAAGAGAGAUGCAGCAAGAGUAAAAGAAAAAAAAAUUCUAUUGAAUUGAGAUCUGCAUAAUUUUUAUUUUGAGACUGAUCGGAUAGUGAUUUCUUUUCUAAUUGAGCUAAAAUUUUGAGGGUCCAUUCCUAACUUUCAGUUCUUCGAAUCCAACAGUUGGAUUGUGCAUUGAAGCUUUGUAGAUCAGUGGUAUUCAGUUUAUGUGCUUACUAUUUUUCUGGUACUAUCUCUCCAUUCUCUUGAUACAUUCACUUGAUAUUGUAAGGAUUAUUUGCCGAGGUUUUGUCAAGGCUUGUGGUCUUAAUUUAUAGAUCUUGUAAUUCUUAUUUAAGUAUAGUAAAGCUUGGAAUUGGGUAGAAAGGUCCCGUGAUUUUUUUCUUCGUAUUGGAGGGUUUUUCAUGAAAAAAGGUGUUCUAUUGUGUAUGAUUUUCUUGUUUGUUUUUUGCUUGGUAUCGAUUUGACUCUAUCGGCUAGUUUACUUCCUCAUAUUUUGUGGUCUCACACAAGUGGGAGAGUUUUUGAUUUUGCUGCAUUAUUUAUUUUUUCCAACAGUAAGUCCUAUAGAAAAGGAUGUCAGCAUCAAUUGCUUAUAGACAAUUAAGAAAUUACAGCUUAGAAAUCACUUUCUAGCCACUCUAAGUUAGAAAUGCAUGGAAUUUGACUUCAGGCAACAAAAAAAAAAGAGCACAUGCACAAAUUAUGUACCUAUACUUUUACAAUAAAAAAUAUCUAUCGAUAUACUUAUCUUGAAUAUUUUAGUCAUAAAUUAUUCUCACUCUUUAGUUUAAAUCAUUUUUACUACCAGCAUAGCUAUUAUUGCUAUAUUUAUAUUCAUGCAAGACACUAUACCAAUUUCAUCCAGAUUUGAACCAAAAAUCAUAUUUUAAGCUUUACUUGAUUUUUUUAAUUAAAAAUCAUUAUAACCAUUUACAUUUGUAUAAGAAAAAUUGCUCAUAACUAUAUUUUUAGAAAUACAAUUAUGAGCUAGGGAGGGGAAGGAUGGGGUCAUCUUCGAAGCUAUCUAUGGCCCCUUUGAGCCAAAAAUUGAACAUAAGGAGAUGAUUUGGUCCUCGAAAGUGGAAUCGAAGCUCCCAAGUGCCAAGAAAAUAGGAAAAGGGAGGAAAGAUAUAUCGGAAAGAAGUGGGUGGACUAGAAUCCUGAAUGCUUAGGUGUCAAAGUAGUGAAAUUUUGGUGAACUCAAAGGUCUAGGUAAGCUUAAUAAUAUGGGUAAUGGACUAGAUGGAUUGCUUAUUAAUUCAUUUGCAUCCUAGGUUCAAAGCUCAACCCCUAUCCAAGUACCUUACUAGCAUCCAUGUGGAAACAUGUUUGGAAACUUUGAAUACCUACUAUGGAAAUAUAUCAUGGAUGUAAGGUAGAAUAUACACAGUUUCACUUUAUUCAAUAAUUUGCAAUUACUAACCAAUCAAGCUGGUAAAAAUCAUUUACUUUUUAGUACCAAAAAAAAUUAUUUAUUUUUCAGUAGUUGUAAUAAAUGUAUGGGAUUGAAUCAUCUUUUUCCUAAAGUUUGAUCAGAGGUUAGAAAUCAGGAAUAACAAUAACAAUAAAAAAUUACACCCCUUCUGCUUAGAGUUAUUUUCACUUAGCAUCUCUUGAGUUUAAAAUAUUUCAAUCAAGUCCUUGAAGUUAGUUAAGCAGUUUGGUAUAGUCUCUAACCUCACCUGAUAACCAAUGCCAUCUCAAAAAAAGUAUUUACUCCUCUUUACCCCUUCUUUUAAUUAGCCCUUUUCAUCUCUUCUUUUCUUUCAUACUUCAUAAGAUAUACACCCUUUACUCUCCAAAGCUCCUCUCUCUCUCUCUCUUCUCCUCUCUUUCUCAUUGCCUCUCAUUGAUAAAGACUAUGACAAGAGAUUCUAUCCCUUAUCUCUAUCAAUGCUGAGAGCAGAGCUAAUUGAAUUUCAAUCACAUAUUUUUUUCAUUUGCUGUUGAGUUACUAUAGUCAUCUUCCUUCAUUUAUUCUUCACCAUGGGCAAAGAGGACAUCCUCUCUUUAUCCUGGAUCCAGAAGUUCCUAGACACCUUCCUCAUCUAUCAAGAAGAGUUUCAUACAAUUUUCUUCAACAAUAAGGAGAUCCUCUCUCCUACCUCUUUCAACCAUCUCAUCUCCGAUUUCUUUAAGUGCAGUGUCAAAGCCCCUGAUGCCAGCAAUACUACUAUGGUGAAAGAAGCACCUCAAGAGCAUCCUUGCUAUCCUUAAUCUUUUUCACAAGAAACUCAAUGGGGGCCAAUUCCACCAUGCCCUCAAAGCCCUAAUUAGCUUUACCAUGCUCGUGCUCAAUGAGGAGAAGACCGGCUCCGUCCUCAACUACUGCAACUGACAACCCACUUGCAACCACUAUUUGAUGAAGAGGAUUAGAAAAUGAUGAUAAGGGAGAAAUGUUUUCUCCAUGUUGGCUUCUUGUUUUCUUUCUUAAGAUUGGUUAGUUUCAUGCCCAUGGUUCUGGUGUAUAGACAAUAUUUCUUCGGAUCACGUUAGGUCGGUGGGGCUUGCAUCCUCCUCAGGAUUUGGUAGUUGUUCAUUAUCAUUGAUCUCCAUUAAGAUUUGAGCCCUCGUGGCAUUCAGAGGAGUGCAAAUGAUGAAUCUGCUAGGUGGAGGGCAUGACUGUCGACCUCGAGGAGGAGUACUAGAUUGAUGAGCCCAGGGAGAAGUUCAGGACCUACAUGCGCUCCUUCCUCAUCGGUCAUCGUGCCUCAAUUCAUUCUUCUUUUUUUUACUUUUCUCUUCUCUAUGGGUUUUCUUUUUAGGAGCCUCCGUGUAGCUCCAUAGCUUCUUUGGUAUUAGCAUACUUCUCUAUCCAAGCUAGCAUCUCGACGAAGUCCUUCAGAUAUCUUUUUUCAAGAGAGAAAAAAAAUAAUACUUCAGAAGUCCAUCCUUUAGAGCCAACAUAGCAACUGACUAGUUGAGAUCGUGUACUUCAAAUGUAGCCAUAUUGAAAUAGCUCACAUAAUCUCUGAGGGCUUCUCUUUUCUUCUGUUUGAUGUUCCUAAGGAGUCGGACCCAUGGCAUUGUCAUCGACUUCUGACAAAGUGAGCCAUGAAUGACCAACCAAGCUGUUCAAAGAAGUAGAUCAAACUCGGCUAUAAGCUUGAGCACCAGUACCAAGCUAUCUUCUAUAAAGUAGAGGGAAAGGCCUAGCAAAGAAUCCCAUUGGCAGCUCUAUGUAGGAGCAUGAGGGCCUUGAAACUUUUCGAGUGGUCCACUAGAUCGAUCGCUCCAUCAUAAACCUCUAGCUGUGGUAUUUGGAAGUGGCUCGAAAUUAGCUCAUUCAUGAUCUUUUUGCUGAAGGAUAAGUCGGCCUUAAAGCCAACCUCAUCAUCCUAUCUCAAGACCCAACUGCGCAAUAUCUCGAUCUAUCGAUGUAUUUUUUGGAGCGUCCGAUCUAUAUCGACAUUCUGAGCAAUAUAGUAUUCUGAGUGCCGAGGCAGUGAUCAUCUCGAGGUGGAGUCCUUCUCUGGUUGGGAAGUCAAGGAAUGUUGCCAAUGGCCCCAUUCUGAGCUCUUUGGUUGGCUAUGCCGACUUUGAUAUACUCGAUUUGGACUAUGAGGAAGCGACUGCGGUUGUUGCUGUUGUGAGGUACUUAUUGUGGGGCUAUGGUUGCUUGCUGGAUUGCUUGGAUGGCAGCAAUCAAGGUUUGCACCUACUAAAUGAGUAGGUUGAAUUAUUCGAGGGCCAUCCUGGAGCAUGUUGAGGGUGUGGAGGCUGGUUCUUAGGCUAGUGAGGUAACACCUCAACCUCAGGUGGCAUCUCGACUGGCUGGGUUCCACACCUGGCUAGCCAAGAUGCCAUCCCAUUAAACUGACGUGAGGCACUCAAUCCUCCUCUUUGAGAUCUUAUGAUUGUAGACUCUUCUUUCUUUUCAAAUAAUCUUGGAUCUUUCCUCUAAUACCAAUCUAUUAUUAUUAAUGGCCAACUUGAUUUUGGAGCAGAUAAAUCUGGGAUGGCUAGAGUUUGAUACUAUAUCGGAAGGAGGAUAACCGAAAUUGAGAGCCAAGGAAGGAAGAAAUCAUGGAAUCAUGGGUGCUGCAUGUAGAUGGAUCAUCAAAUUCGAUUGGGUUGAGAGUUGAGCUGGUCCUCACUAGUUUAAAAGGAGUGGUUGUCGAAUGCAUCUUAUGGUUUAGUUUUCCAACUUCUAAUAAUGAAGCUGAGUAUGAGACCCUCGUAACCAGCCUCAAGAUUGCUAAGGAGCUGGACGUAUGAAAACUAAAGGUCUGUAGUGACUCGUAACUUAUCAUCGGCAAGUACGAGAAGAAUACAAAUCCCUGAAAUCUAAUAUGGUGAAGUACCUAUAGAAAGUCAAAGACAUCAUUUCCAUCUUUGCUAGCUUCAACAUUCAGCUAGUCCCCAAGUUGGAAAAUAUCAGGAUAGGCAUGUUGUUGAAGCUUAUGACCUCAAGAUUGGCCAACCUCCACAAGCCUGGAACCAAGAAGUUAAUGUUGGUAUUAUAGAUGGAAACAGUGCCAAGCUGGAUGGAUCCAAUGAUUCAAUACUUCAGGACAACAUACUUCCUAGCAAUCUUAAAGAAGCUCGAAAUUUGAGGCACCAAGUGCCUCAUUAUAUCCUCUUCAUGGACAAGUUGUAUAAAAGAUCCUUUUCUCCAUCUCUUCUUAAAUAUCUACACCCAAUCGAAGUAGAUUACGUCCUUCAAGAGAUGCAUGAAAGAAUAUGUGGGACCAUCUAAGGGGAGGUCAGUAGGAUAUAAGAUGCUUCAACAUGAUUACUACUGGUUGAUAUUGCGAUGAGGCAGUCAAUCUGAUACAGAAGUGUGAUAGAUGCCAGAGAAAUGCUCACAUCCAAAGCCGACCUACCACUCCCUUGACAUCUAUUGGUGCACCCUGGCCCUUCAUUCAAUGGUGAAUGGAUAUUCGUAGGUGCUGUUUGGUAUAUCACCAAUGAGAUGAUCACUAAGUGAUGUGAUCACUAGGGUGAUAUGAAUACUAAGAUGAUAUGCAAAUACUCAGGUGAUAUGUAAUCACCGUAUUUGGUAUAUCACUAGAAUACCACUGAAAAUAAAACUUCACUGUGUUUGGUAUAUCAUCAAAUAGUGAUAGUGAUAAUGUAUAAAAUACCAUAAAUAGCCUUAUACAUUAGUACAUAAUAAUUACUCUACAACUUGAUUAAAUAUUCUACAUUUAUAACUCCUCACAAAAAUAUAUAACAGUAGUAAUAAUAAUAAUAUUUAUUUUUUUAUUUAUUAUUAUAGAUAUUUAUUUUGAUGAAUCUAUUAAAAUAAUAUUAUGAUAAUAUUAUAUAUAAUCAGGUUUGACUGGGUUCAAUCAAUUUUGACCAUCAAUAUCAGGGCUGUCCAUUAGGAAUGAUUUAGCCCAUUAAAAUAAAUUGAGAAAAAAAAAGCAUGAAGGAUUUAGCAUGAUCCAUCCAUGCCAAUUAACCACAUCUAUCUAUAGAAAUAAAAUAGGUAUCUAAUAAAUAAAUAAAAGAUACCCAUAUCAUUUAACUAAAUCUAUCAAUAAAAAUAAAAAAAUACAUCUAGUAAAUAGGCAUCUAUAGAAAAAGAUAAGAAAAAUUUUUAUUUCUUUCCAAUUUACUAACUAGGAAUAUUUUUAUCUCAAAAUAAUUUUAGCACAUCACCAGUAUCCAGUGAUGUGCUAUCACCUAGAGUAUGUGUGGUGAUAGCAUCACUAUAUUGUAUAGUGAUACUAUCACCAAAUUUAUCACUGGAUCCUUCAUCACUGGAUGAGAUUUUUCAAUAUCAAACAAGAUAAUCACAUCACCUAACUCACAUCACUGGGGUGAUGUGAAAUAUCACCCCUUACUAAACAACACCUUAGACUAUUCUCCCAAGUCUUAGGUUAAUGAAAGUUUCUAUUCAUUGCUAUUGACUAUUUCGCUUAGUGGAUCGAGGCAGAGCUGUUAACUCACAUUAUAGAUCUUAAAAUACAAGACUUUAUGUGGAGGCUAUCAUUUGUUGAUUCAGCCUAUCUCAGAUCAUCAUCACCAAUAAUAAUUGACAAUUAACAAUGCUUGGUUCAGUGAUUUCUGUAGGGAGCUCAACAUUACCCACCUUCUAAACUCGGUAGGCCACCCUCAGAUGAAUGGCAAGGCCAAGGUGACCAAUUGGACCCUUUUAUAAGGCUUGAAGGCAUGGUUAGAUUGAGCUAAAAGAUUUUGGACAGAUGAGCUUUAUAGUGUACUCUAGGCAUACCAAACUAUCUAAUGGUCUCUCACUAGAGAAACACCAUUCAACCUUGCCUUCAAAAAUUAUAUCGUCAUUCUACUCGAGGUCGGCAUCCUUUCAUCUUGAGUAGAAAGCUUCAACGAGCAAAGCAAUCCAGAAAACCUACGGGUGUAUUUGGACUUGCUCAAGAAAACUAGCUAGAGAACAAGCUCAUGUUCAGAUGGUAGCAUACCAGCAUAAGGUAGCUCGGUAUUACAACUCUUGAGUCAAAGGCAAUAUAUUUUGAGCCAGCAACCUAAUUCUGUGGAGAGUUGAGAUGUCCCGACCAAGUAAGGAAAGCUGGCCCCGAAUUGGGAAGAACCAUAUCAAACCAAGGAGAUCAUUCAUCCCAGAAUGUAUUCACUAAGAACCUUGAAUAGAAGCUCGAUCUCCCAGAUUUGGAACUGAAAACUUACGGAUGUAUUACCAAUAAUGUAAAAAUUAUUUUCAGUGAUAUACUUAGUAAUAAAAGUCUUAUGUUGCAUUCAAAUCCAGCAAAUUGAAUAACACCUAAUAAUCUAUAUUUUGAAACUCAAAACCUUGAUCGAUCGAGAAGCAAGGGGUAACCCUAUAAAAGAAUCCUUGGAGCCAUGGCUCUUUGUGCCAAAACAAGCCGAGCUCAAAAUCUCGACUGAUCGAGUAACUAGGGAUAACCUCAUAAGAGAAUCUUUAAGAGCAUGGUUCCUUGUGCCAAAAUGAGUUGAGCCCAAGGCCUCGACUGACCGAGAAGCAAAGGGUAACCCCAUAAGAAGACUCUUUGGGGCAUCGCUCUUUUGCAUCAAAACGAGCCGAGCUUAAGACCUCAACUGACCGAAAAGUGAGGGAUAAUCUCAUAAGAGGAUCCUCGAGAGCAUAGCUCCUUACACCAAAAUGAGCUAAGCUCAAAUCUUCUACUAAUCAAGAAAGAAGGGAUAACCCCAUCAUAGGACCCUUGGAAGUAUAGCUUCUCAUACCAAAAUAAACUAAGUCUAAGAUCUCAGUCGAUCAAAAAGUGAGAGAUAACCCCAUAAGAGGAUCCUUGAGAGCAUGUCUCCUUAUAUCAAGACAGACCAAGCUCGAAAACUUAUACCCGUGUUACUCGAAAAAGGUUGGAUCUGAAAAAAAAUAUCUACCUAGACAGCAAAACAUGGCCUAGGAAUGCCAAAGCGUAAAAGAGCCUAAGUCAAAAACUUCAAAAAAAUAUGUGAAAGGUUAAUUUGGUGCAACGCCAAGAAUCGGAUGAGCCAAUGAAUGAUUUAUUUUAGUAUUCGUUAAAAGGUUGGAUGUCUCGAUCACCUGCUUAUUUCUGUACCUUAUCAUGAGGCCAAUCGAGCUGGUGAUAAAAGUCCACUUUGGUGUCAACAUUCAUUCACUCAAGAGGAAAAGAGAAAGAAGUUCGGCACUUAAAAAUUUUGGAAAGGAAAAGUACUUUCAUUAGAAGUUCGAAAUAUUUACACAAGAAAGGUCGAACCAGUCGACUACAAAACUAGUUAAGAAAAAUCAAACUAAGAUUAUAAAAAAUAAAAAAGAAAAAAAGAAUAAUUUUAGGCUUCUGCCCGACCUGCAGCUUCCUUAACCCGACCUGCAGCUUCCUUGACUGGAUUUGUAACUUCCUUAGUGGUGACAGUCUCCAGCACGGCGACUUCGAAGAUUCUAUACUCCUUGAGAGUUAUCUCUAAAAAGAGGCUAAAGUGGUAGUCAAUGGAUAAGAAUGACUAGUCGAGUUCGACGUAACAUUUAGCAACCUUAGGCCAACACCCCUGGAGUCCAAGGUUGUAAGAUUCUCUAGCAAACUCAACCUUCUCAUUGGCAAGCUCCUUCGAACCCCGAAAGUCCUCCACCACCUUCUGAGCCAACUCAGCCUCCUAAGCCUUCUCCUCUGCCAUCACCAAGUUCUCCUUCACUAAUUUAAGUGCCUUCUCAGGCGCCUGACCUCUAUCCCAACCACGAUCAGGAUGACCUAGACUUUCUUUUCGGCUCUCUCUACCUCUAGGGCCCUCUCCUUAGUGUUUUCGCCUUCCAUCGGACCUCGACUUUCUCCAACCUCGCCGCCUUGGUGGACUUCAUGAAAUGGAUGAGGUGGUAUGCUAGCUAAACAAAGAAAAGAAAAGAAGAAAAGAGAGAGGAGGAAAGAAGAGAAAGUUAGUCGGCCUGAGCAAAAUAACAAAAAGUGAAAAUAAAAUUAAAAGUAUGAGGCUUGGACCAUUUAUCCAAAUGAAGGAAUCAUGGGCAUCGCUGUGGUGAAAGUUGGAGCCAGACUCCUCCAACUUUUUCUCCUCCACUAAGAGCAAAAUCUUUGCAUGAGGUCCCAUGCUACCCAUCAGCUCUCCAGUAUAGAGUCCGAUGAAUGCCGAACCAUGGCAAUGCACAAUCCCUACUCAACCUUGUAGAAAAAACUGAUAGUUCAAAGCAUGUAUUUUUAAAAUUUUACAGCGAAAAAUAAAAGAUUAAACACUUUAAUCUUCUAAACAUGUCUUGGAUUAGAUCUAAAUGAUCAAUUAAAGAUUUGUGACAUGAAAAAUUUAUAUACAAAAUCUGAAAUAAAACAGAAAACUACAUCGAUCACAUCGAUGCCCUGAAUCCGAUCUAACCUUUAGAUCACAUCGGUUGAGUUUAGAACUCAUCACCUUUUCAUAGAUCGAUGAUCUCUACUACUAGUAGAUAUGGUACGAAGCUCUCACUGAUAUCGAACAGUCGCACAGAUCGUCCGACCUCUACAGAUUAUCCACUCGAAGCUCUGAUCGGAUCUUUUUUUCUGGGAGUGCUAGCUCGCAUCGAAGACUCUAAAUGGCGGAUCUUCCUUCGCGGGAGUGAUAGCUCGCGUCGAAUGCUCUAGAUGGCUGUCCAAGCAUUUUUCUUCGGAUCUUUCAGACUCCUUAAAGAUGUUUCUACAAGAGGUUCCAGAUUUGAUUUAAUUAAGUCCAACUCAAUGGGUUUAUUAGAUUAUGUCGGUUCUUCUACCGAUCGAAUUGCAUCAAGUUCAUCUUGGAGGUAUUAGUUCCUUCUCCAAGGAACUUCUUUUCUAGAAAGAUUAUCUUAUUGCUGAUGAACACCUUCUAUUCAUCAGCAAGGUAGAAGUAAUACCCCUUGGUCUCUUUUGGGUAUCCUACAAAUAGAUACUUGUCAGAUCUAGAUCCAAGCUUGUCAGUUUUCAAAUAUUUGACAUAAGUCAGAUAUCUUCAAAUCCUAAAGUGAGAGAGUGCUGGCUUACGCCCUGUCCACAUCUCAUGUGGUAUUUUACUUGUGGACUUACUUGAAACUUUAUUUAAAAUAUAACAAACUGACUCAAGUGUAAAUCUUCAAAAAGAGAUCAGUAGACUUCGCAAAGCCCAUCAUGGAUCGAACCAUAUCUAACAGGAUUUGAUUCUUCUUUUUCGAUACACCGUUAUGCUGUAGUAUUCCAAGAGAGGUCUAUUACGAGAGAAUCCCAUUCUCUUCUAAGUAUGUCAGAAAUUUACUGGAGAAGUAUUCUCCUCCUCGAUCGGAUCGAAAAAUUUUAAUACUCUUUUUAAUUUAAUUUUUUACUUCAUUAUGAAAUCGUUUGAAUAUUUUAAAUGAUUUUAACUUAUAUGUCAUUAAGUAGACGUGCCCAUACUUUGAUAGACCGUUUGUAAAUAUAAUGAAAUAAUAAUAUCCAUCUCUGGUACUAGUGUUCAUCGGUCAACAUAUAUCAGUAUGUAUCAGAUUUAGAACUUCACUGGCUCGCUCAUUUUUUUCAGUAAAAAAUGCAUUGUUAUUUUUUUAAGAAAACAAGACUCACAGAUUGAAAGUGAUUCUCAAUCNNNNNNNNNNNNNNNNNNNNNNNNNNNNNNNNNNNNNNNNNNNNNNNNNNNNNNNNNNNNNNNNNNNNNNNNNNNNNNNNNNNNNNNNNNNNNNNNNNNNNNNNNNNNNNNNNNNNNNNNNNNNNNNNNNNNNNNNNNNNNNNNNNNNNNNNNNNNNNNNNNNNNNNNNNNNNNNNNNNNNNNNNNNNNNNNNNNNNNNNNNNNNNNNNNNNNNNNNNNNNNNNNNNNNNNNNNNNNNNNNNNNNNNNNNNNNNNNNNNNNNNNNNNNNNNNNNNNNNNNNNNNNNNNNNNNNNNNNNNNNNNNNNNNNNNNNNNNNNNNNNNNNNNNNNNNNNNNNNNNNNNNNNNNNNNNNNNNNNNNNNNNNNNNNNNNNNNNNNNNNNNNNNNNNNNNNNNNNNNNNNNNNNNNNNNNNNNNNNNNNNNNNNNNNNNNNNNNNNNNNNNNNNNNNNNNNNNNNNNNNNNNNNNNNNNNNNNNNNNNNNNNNNNNNNNNNNNNNNNAACCCCCUCUCAACUUUUUAUGCCCCCACUCUUAGAUUUCUCACAUCAAAAAUCACUUUUAAUCUCGCAUAAAACUGAUCCCUUCUUAAGGGUGGCAUCCAAUAGAAGAUAAGGAUAAGGAAAAGAUAGUUUUAGUUCAAUUUCAAAUAUUGAUUAAUUCUUAUCACCAAUUCAAAUCAAAUUUGAAUUAAAUUUUAAAUUAAACUUUAUCCUCAUCUUAUAAACUUAGAGAGGGGUUGACCAAUAUCAGAUUGGUGCAAAAAAUCUCAUGCAAAAAUACUUUAUGCAUGAAGAAAGGUGAUGGCGUGAAAAGAAGAGUCCAACUCAAUUUAGACUCUAGGUUUUCAUUCAAAUUCAAAUCUAUUUGAACUCAAAUUUAAACUAACCAAUUUUUAAUUCAAAAAAAAUUAGAUGUAGAUGUGGAAAAGCUUCUGGGCAUGAGAAAAAUUCACGUAAAAAAUUUUUCUUGCAUGAAGAAUAAGAGGGCGCAAAGAAAGGAGGCACAAGAGAUUUGAAUUCAAAUUAUUUUCUCAUCCAAUUGAUUUUUAACCCAACUAAAUUAGGUUAGACCCAAUUAGAUUACUAAAUUUAAUCUAAUUAGGUAUUAAAUAAUUUUGAUUAAAUCUUAAUCAAAUAAAAAAUUAAUCGAACUCAAGUUCUGAUCAAAUCAGGAAUCGAACAUCCUUAGCGAUUAGGUCAUCUUAUAACCUAAUCGGAUCAAACCAAAUUAAAUCUAAUUUAAUUAGAUUUGAUCCAAAUCUUAAUGCUCAAUCAAAUUGAGCUAAUUAGCAAUCUAAUUACUAAUCAAUCCUCCUAUAAGUCAUCAACAAUUAGAGAAUUGAUUUAUUACAACUUUUGCACAGGGUAAUCAUCAAUCGAAUUGACUGUUUUAUCCUAGAAUGAUUCUUAAUCGUCGAUCAGUCAUAUGAUCAAUCAGAAAUUUUUUUUGAGUGUGACCCCAUAGAUUCGAAUCUAAGUCGGUAGUAUAAGAAUAAUCUUUCUAUACCAAUUAAAGUGACCAUCUAGCAAUGAUAUCCGACGUCUGGAUAGGUCGAAAGAUUGUGAAGUAUCAUUCAAAAAUCUAUUGACAUAUGGUUACCGUAUAAUUCAUCUCUUUGAUCCAAAUGCUUAAGAUGACCUAGGCUUUAACUGUCAACCUUGAUAUGAUCAUCCAUAUUGUAUUUCAAUUUUUAAAAUUUAUCACAUGGAUUAUCCCAGUUGAGAUUUUACUGAAUUAAAAUACACUGAUACAUUAACUCCUACUUAUUUGGAGGGAUCAAUUCCAUCUUGACUCACACACCGACUUCUCAAGUAUUUGACUAUGUCCAAAAAUCUUUCAUCACUAAAUUAGAAAUUCAGGUAGUCCGGCAUCAAAGUACAGUGAGUUGCUUGCAAGUCACCGUGGUGAUUUCAGGUCAGAGGAAUACUUAUAUCCAUAUCCUUCGUGAGCUACUCUUGACAGUAGAGUACUCAGUAGUUGGUCAUAUUUAGUGAGAUGUACUCCUAUAUCUCACUUGUAUGCCAUGUCAGUGUCUCCACACUUUUUGGUUAAGAGGACAACCAACGUACAUGACACACAACGAUCUAUACUUGAUAUAGCUAUCAUUUUAAUAAUAGUAUAUCAUUUGGNNNNNNNNNNNNNNNNNNNNAUAAUAAUAAGCUCAAUCAUCAACAGACUGACGAUUGAUUUUGAGACAUAAUUCUCAAUAAACCUCAGUAGGGGCUGGGGCCAAUGCCAAGUUGUAAGCAUCGAAGGGUAGCCAAGAGGCCCUAUCACCUUAAAGGGCCAAUGAAGGAGCAGAGCGGGGUAUGAGUGCCACCCCUGAGGGAAGAAUCUUGACCAGAUUGACCAUGACCACCUCGAGGUCAUCGACAGGCCAAUUGAGCUCAAGGCCACCCGAGCCGUCAAAGCUUCAGUAUGAGGAUGCUUGGACGGAUCUUUGAAGGUAGUUGAGGCCUUCCUCUUCUUCCAUGCUGCACAACAAAGUCUCUCCAACUCCUCUGUCCUCAUUUCUGCAAAAAAUCAAGGUGAAAAAGUUAAAAUAUAAAAUCCUGAAUGACAAGAAAAAAGGGAGAUCAAAUAGGAUGAGGAUGAGGAGGUUGACAAUCACUUUAUGGAUCGACCUACCUAAAAUUGAAGUUGAAUAAGGUCUACUCAAAUAGCAGCUCUUUCAACAGAGGAACUCUAUGCCUAAGAAGGGUCUUCAAUUUUCAGUGCUCGAUAUCACUCAACGAUUGAACUUGGAUCAUCGAUCUCUGAGGUCGGCCCCACGAGGUAAAGCCCUAUCCUCUCCCUUGGUAGAAGAUACAAAGAAAAACCUUUUCUUCCAUCCGUGAAUGGAGGAAGGAGUACCUUGGAUCAAGUAAUGCCCUCUCUUAAGUGAGAUAUUGUUGGUGUGGUCCCUCCUUAAUGGGACCCACUUCUUUAAAUCAAAAUAAAAAGGCUCACGUAAUCUGGGUGGUUUUUCCAGUUACGCACGAAAAAGCAGCAUGCCCGAAAAUUGAAAGGAGGAAAAGUUAUGUGGAAAACCAAUGUGGUAUACAAAAAAGUAAAGACACAUGGAAGAUUCCUUUUGUCAUGUGAAAGCCUUUGUGCACUGAGAUGUGGAAUCCUUUGGUUACACGAAAAAUAAGUCUGUAAAAGACUCUACCUUUUAUCUAUAAAAGAAGGCUUGUGGAUGUGAAGAACAGAACACGAGAAGAAAAAAAAUAGAGGAGGCUAUGAGGAAACUGUGAGCUACCAAAAGAAGAGAGGGAGAGAGAAGAAGAAAGGCUUGGAGGAUCCUUCGUUCAAGAAUAGAAAAUUGGAGAAAAUCAAUUGGAGGAGUUCGCUCAACCUUAAGUUAGAGUUAUUCCAUCGAGGAAGGUUCUUCUAGAGGUUUAGUUAAUCCUUGAUUUCUUCUUUCUUAUAUCAGGAGCAGUGUUCUCGAUGUGGUAUCAAAAAAAUUUUUUUGUACUCUAAACUAUUAUUAUAGUGGAAGCUCUUUCUUACUCUGAUUUCUGUGUGGAUGUAGGCUUCAAUCGAACCAUGAGAAAAUUUUGGUGUUCUUGCGAUUGCUGUGAUUUCUCUAUACUUUUGAUAUUAUCGUUAGUGUAAAUUUUUACUUUCGUUUAUCUAUUAUUUUCAAUACUCAAAUCCCAAUAGAUAUACCACCAAUUCUACUUUGUAGGAUGCCUCUUAAGGAUGAAACAAGCCUAGAAGAUCGAGAUGGAAAAGGUCGAAUGCCGACCAAAAAGUAAUGGGCCCCAUGGCUCCAAGGUGGGUCUGCUGGGAAAUAGACAGUACAAGCAUGUAUAUUUUUAAAAUUUUAUAGUGAAAGUAAUAGAUUAAACUAUUUAAACUCCUACACAUGCUUUAGAUCAGAUCUAAACUACCUUUCUAAGGAUCUAUAACAUGAAAUAUUGCAAAAAAAAAAUCUAAUUUGAAACAAAACACUGCAUCUAUCGUAUCGAUGCCUUGAAUCAGAUCUAACGCUUAGAUCUGAUUCGAUAAGUUCAGAACCCAUUAUCUGAUUGUGGAUCGACGAUCACCGCUGUUGAUACAUAUGGUAGGAGAUUCUUUCUGAUGUCGAGCAGCUGCACAGCAUAUUCGGCCUCUACAAGUGAUCCACUCGAAGUGCCGAAUAGAUCAUCCUUUCCGGAAGUGCUAGUUCGCAACGAAGGAUCUAGAUGGCUGAUGGAGACCCCUUUCUUCAGAUCAAAUGGAUAUCUCCAGAUCAGAAGAAAGAGCUUUUCAAGGAGGAGAUAGUGUGGAAGAAGAAGAACAAAAUAAUUUUUAUUUUUCUCUCUCACAAAAUGGGAACUAGGAAACCCUAGAAACCCCACGUCCCAAAGAGGAUCUUCUUCCUCUUUUUCUUAUGCACGGAUGCCCACCCCUCUCUCUCAGAUUUCUCAUGCCCUAUCUGAGGUUGCCAAAAUUGAAGUGGUUUGGCACACAAAAAAUCACCUCCUUUUGAGGUGGUGUCCCAUGUAGAGAUUGGAUAAUUUGGUUUAGGUUUAAACAAGGCAUAUCUUAUCACAAAUUCAAAUCAAAUUUGAAUUUAUUUUCAAACCAGAUUUAAUCCACAACUAAAGAACUUAGAAAGGAGGGCAACACAACUCAAAUUGGUGCAAAAAACAUCACGCAAAAAUUUAUUUUGCAUGUGAGAAGAAGGCUGGUCGGCGGCUAGGUAGAGCCCCACAAAAUAUGGACUCUUGAUUUAAGCUUGAUUUCAAAUCAAUUUGAAGUCAAACUUAAUCCAAACAAAUCCUUAUCCAAAGAGGAUCAGAAGAAGGCAUCAUGCACCUUCUGGGUGCAAAAAAUUCCACAUGAAAACUAUUCUCAUGCAUGAAGAAAGGCAGGGCGCAGUGAAAGGUGGCACAUGGGGUGUUCUUGUUCUAUUCAAAUUCUAAUUUGUAUUCUUAUGUAAUUAGGUUCUUGACCCAAUCAAAUUAGGUUAGACCCAAUUAGAUUACCUAAUCUAAUUAAGUGACAAGUAAUAUUGAUUAAAUCUUAAUUAGAUUAGAAAUUAAUUGAGCUCGAAUCAGGAAUCGAACAUCCUUAGCGAAAAGGUCAUCUCAUAACCUAAUCGGAUCAAACCAAAUUGAAUCCUAUUCAAUUAGAUUUAAUUCAAACUUUAAUAUUCAAUCAAAUUAAGUUAAUUAGCAAUCUAAUCUCUAAUCAAUCUUUCUUUAAUUCAUCAACAAUUAGCGAAUUAAUUUAUUGUAAUUUUUACACAAGGUUCAUCAUUAAUCAAAUUGAUAAUUAAAUUCUAGAACGAUUCUCAAUCAUUGAUCAGCCACAUGAUCAGUCGAAAACUUCUUUUGAGUAUGACCCCAUAGAUUCGAACCUAAGUCGGUAGCACAAAAAAUGAUUUUCUAAACCAAUCAAUGUAACCAUCUAGUAUUGAGACCCGACGUCCGGAUAGGUUGAAAGAUUGUAAAGCAUCAUUCAUUAAGCUAUUGGCAUAUGGUUACCGUAUAAUUCAUCUCUUUGACCUUAAUGCUCAAUAUGAUCUGAAGUUUAACUAUCAACCCUGGAUAUGUCAACCACAUUAUGUUUCAACCUUUCAAAUCUAUCACAUGGAUUAUCCUAACCAAGAUUUUACUAAAUUGAAACACACUGAUGCAUUAACUCCUACUUAUUCGAAGGGAUCAAUUCCAUCUUGACUCAUAUACCGAUUUCGCAAGUAUUUGACCAUACUCAAAAAUCUUUCGUCACUGAAUUAAAAAUUCAGGUAAUCCGAUACUAAAGUACAGUGAGUUGCUUGCAAGUCACUGUGGUGAUCUCAGAUUAGAGGGAUACUUAUACUCAUAUCAUUCACGAGCUAUUUUUGACAGCAGAGUAUCUAGCAGUUGGUAAUGUUUAAUGAGAUGUACUCCUAUAUCUCACUUGUAUGUCAUAUCAUUGUCUCCAUACUACUUGGUUACGAGGACAACCAACGCAUAUGACACACAACGACCUGCACAUUAUCCUCCUAGUAAUAGCGUAUCAUUUAGUCGUAAACUAAAUUUAAGGAUUAAACGAUAUAUCCUCUUAUAUCGAUUAAGAUAGUCCUAAGAACUUCAUCACAAAAAUUAGAGUUCAUUAAGAAGAUGUACACUACUUUAUAAUGAAAAAAUCAAAUAAUAAUUUUAUUAAUUUAUUAAUUCAUAUAUAUUUAUAUUUUUAGUAGAACCGUCAAUAGACUGAUGAUUGGCUUUGGGACACAAUUUUCAAUAGGAUCAUGAUUGAUCGCAUAGCUCCCAACUAAAUCAAUGGUACCACUCAUCUCAGAGAUGAUUUUAGGUCACGUCUAACGUUAGCCAUGACCCGGCAAGAUGCCAACCUAGUCGGCUAAAGGCAUACCAAGCCGAGGUAUCGGAUCAAGAUUUGCGAUGGCAGUUAUGCACCGAGCAAUUAUCUUAUCCACUCUACAUUCCAUAUAUACUCUAGAUUGAAUGAAUAAUGAUCCACCUCAGCCAAACAAAAUAGAAGCAACAUAAUUCUUUCAACCACUCCUGUCCUUCUUUCUAAAGAUAGCUAGCUACCCUUUCGAUAAAUAGGAGAGAAAAUGAGGCUCCCAAGUAAGCUCUCAUGCUCCACUCUCUCCUUCCUUUCCACUGCUAUCUAAUGACUAACUAGAGCAUCUGAGGGUACCCACUGAAAAUAAUUUUAAGUUCUUCUUCAUUUAGUGCAGUGUCAAACUCCAAUCACUCUAGAUCUGCUUGCUUCAGCAUCAGGUUGGCCUCUCAUAGCAAUUGUUAGCAUUCUCUUUCUUCUUCUUCUAGAUAAGAAAUUAAUGUGAUAUUCUAUUUUUACUAUCUUUUUCUUGGUUUCUUGAAGGUUUUAUUAAAGGUUCUUCUUCCUUGAUCAUGGAAGAAGCACUUUUGAAUUGUCCUAAUUACCCUCCAUCCUUCCCAUGAGAACCUCGGUGAGGCUAGUCCUACCAUGCCCUUAAAGCACUCAUUAACCUCACCACCCUAAUGCAGAAAGAGAAGGAGAUCAGCUCCAUCCUCGACUCCCACAACUCUUACCCUUGAUCCUUCCCACAACAACCUCGAUGAGGUAAGUUUCACCGUACAUGAUGAAUCUUCAUGAGCUCAAGUAAAUAAAGAUGGAUGAUAAGACCACAUUGAACUACUUAUCUAACUUUAGGGACCAAAUGAAAUUUUUUUAAGUUUGAGGUUUUAAAGAAAAAUAACAACCCCCCACCAACAGAUGGGUGGCGGGUGAUCUAUUAUGAACCUCUUUAUCGUUCAAACACAACUUGGAGAUCCAAAUUCGGAUUCUUUUUGGUAAACAUAGUCGGCAUUUACAGUCUCACAAUACAUACUUGUUCAUAAUGACAUCUUAGAAAAAACCUGUGCUCUGGAGACAUCUUUUGCAAGCAAAUUCAGCCGCUUGACAGGUCUGGUUGAGAUUUACGCUGCCCAAUUCACAUGGCAUGAUUCCACAUAGAGUUUCGACAGGGCUUGGUUCCCUACAGAUUUUAGAUAAUGGUAUUCAUCCUGAUCUCAUAUACACUUUCCUCACCAAUAUUGAAUUAUCAAUCAUAAAUGCCCACAGGAUAACAUGUCCUCGCACAGGCAGUUCAAACAAUGCUGUGAUAAACUAGCAGCCCUGAACAAGCACCUGCACACAAUGAUUGACCAAGGAAAUAAUAAAUACAGCAAAGAGGUCUUUAAUCUGGCUUCGAUUUGCUGUGAUAUAUAAUUCUUGAGUGCCAGAUGACAAUGGUAACAAACAAGUAAUUAGUGUCAUUGAAGCUUCUGAAGUCUCUGCUCCAGAAAGAGUGUCAGUUUCAGCAAGAAACAUAUACCUCAAAAGCACGUUCCAGUGACAAAGGGGUUUGAGCCACGGCAUCAAACACCUUAACUUUUAUUUACAAGUCCCAUCCUGUCUACAAGGAAUCAGUUCUAAGAAUCAGGUCAUCAACUUGUGAUCUACGAAAGGCUUUAGACUCAUGCAGCUGUUGGAAAAUGAGAAUGUAGAUUCUAUGCAUGCCACUGAAAAGAGGAACUUAAUUGACUAUAAGGGGGCACAGAAGUUUGCAUGCCAUUCCCUCUAUGGUAAAGUUCAUGAUCAAUAAACAGACGAGUUCAAGAACUUACGCAAUAUACAGCAACUUGAUUUGGGAAAAGCAUUUUUAUACCAUCAACCAAGUCCAGGCUCAAGUUAUCAAAAAUGAGAAUACAAGGCAAUCAACCGAAAAAAAAAAAAAGACUGAAUUUUGUUCCAGGGCUUAUGCAAAUUCUUUAUGCCUUCAAGCUCAUGCCUUGGUGAAGCAACAACUUGACAAAAAUUGAUAAUUAAAUUUUAAAGAAAGUUGAACAACAAUAAGUUGUUUGAUUGAACAGCCCAUCGCCAAGGCUGAAGUAUAAGAAUUAACUAUGAUAAGAUCACAUCUCAUAAUUCCAUGUACUUUCAGCUACUAUUUUUGGAACCUUCUUUUGCUCUGCCAGAUUGACUGAUGUGGAAAUCUGCAGAUAAAAAGCACAAAAUUUAUCAUGUAUUGAAAACAAAGGGGAUAAAACACAUCAAAUGCAUCAAGUAAUAUAUCAGAGACAAAAAGAGAGGAGAAUUCUCUAUAGUGCUUUCUGUACUGAGUACAGUUUAUUGUUUCUAAGUGGAGAUAUGAUUUAAUAAAACAUCAAGAAUGCAUUUAAUAAUGACUAAAAUUAAAAGAAACUGAUCUAUCUGCUAUAUGACACUCAAUGAUUCAUUUGGAGUAAAUGGAGCUCUUCCAGCUCUAACCACUGAUAAAAACACAGAAAAAUGUCAAACUUCUAUUAUCUUGACCUCCUUCUGAAAAUAGAUAGGUGCACAUAAUGCUACAGGAAGGCUCUAUUAAAACACAAUACAAUUAAAUUAGCACCGAUAAAAUAAUGUAAUAAAUCCAGAAGAUUACAAGUAUGGUCCUUCCGUUGUCGUUUGGAAAAGAGAAUAAGAGGGGAAAAAAAAAUGACACACCGGCAUAAUAGAACAAGAAUAUCCUGCCACAGCAUAAGAAGCAAUAGUUAAAGCCUUAACCCUAGUAGCAUGCAAAAGCAGGCAGUGCACCAGCAUAACCCAAUACUCGGCUUCUAUUCCAGUUUCAUAAAGAAAUGACAGCACCUUUUUAGGUUCCCAAAUAUGAACUUGUUGAGCAUGUUACAGUAGACAGAAGCGAAAAAUAUAGCAGCAGCAAACAUGCACAACACAGAUUGAGUUGCUCAAAGUUGUGGAAACAACAAUAAGCAGCUGGUAUUUUCAAGAUCUAUAUGACACCAUGAGAAGUUGUCAGGUCUUAGCUUCCUCAUUUCAGAUACUCUAAUUAAUAUCACAGCAUGACUCUCAAGCAUUACUUGAUCUGCCUCUGAUCAUUGCAACAAAUGAAAAAGCAUUUUUAUUCUGGCUCUGUUUAAAUAACUUGUACACAUGCAUGAUGCAUCUUAAACUAGUUCUAAGGUUCUAACUUUUAUCCCUUCCUAGCUUGUCAUUAACUCCAUAUCACUCAUAGGGCACUCUUAUGCUUGCUACCUCAUUUUAUUUUUAAAACUUCAAUAACUCAACCAAUUCAUAAAGUUGAUCUUAUCACUAUUCCUGAAAACAAUUCUUAGAUCUCAUUAGCAGGCACUGAUAUAGAGAGGAUAAAAUAAUCAGAAAAGAAACUGUAAAAAUUAAACAAUGUAAAGAUAAAAAUUGUUAUCAGAACUCCAUGAGUAUACAGAAUCAGAAUCCACUCUUUGAUAGUAGAAUUUUGAAGUAUAUAGCAUAUCUUUAAAAAACUAUACAAUAUUUAUAAAAGAAUACUUCUAAAUAUGUCACCUUACAGAUAAUCAUAUUUAAGAACACAAAAACAGUCCGGACUUGAGCAGUUUCUUGCAAGACAUGGAUGCCAGAAAAUGGUAUAGUUCUAUUUCUACCACUAGAAAACAGAUAACAAUCAGUAUGACAAUGUAACCUAGGUUUUCUGAGGACGAACAAGCAGAAGAGGAGGAGGGAGGAGGAGGAGGAGGAGAAAAAUUGUUUAUGCUUUAUUGAAACAGAAAAGAAGGGAUGUAUCAAAAAAAGAAAAAAGAAAGAAAGAAGAAGUAAAAAAAUGAAGGAAGAAGAAGAAGAAGAAGAUAAUGAUGAUGACAAUGAUGCAAACAACAAUCAGGCUCAACAUCUUUGUGUAUGGUCUGAAAAGUAAACCACUAUGAACAAGUAGAUACAGUAAGACGGUUAAAUAAGAGAGAAGGAAAAAACUUUGAAGAAACUAUGACUAGAGUAGGAAAAAACUUUGAAGCUGUGUCUAGAUUAACUAAACCGAUGUAUAAGUCAUAUGCCCCUUUCCUACGUUACCGAGAAUAAUAAUGGUAGCCAGCAGUAGUUAAUUUCUCACUCGGAAGCUGAAAUAAUGCCUUGUUAACCAAUUUAGACUACAAAGGCCAAUAUGCAUUGGUCUUUUGGGACUUUCUAUAAGCUUUUAAAAAAACAUUCAUAGGCUGCGUUCCACUAAAAUGCUUGAUUCAUAUGGACCCAAAUUGUCUGAAAAUCAAUAAACCUUACGUUGAUGAUGUUCCAACACACCAAAAACCUGAUUUACACCACUUUCAGACUCCAUAGAACCUUCUCAUAAGAUGGCCUUCAACACAUGCAAUAUCAGUUCUCCUCAAUUAAGGGCCUGUUUGGAAAAUCGCUGGAUUUCCUGUUGGAUUGAUGGACUGAGCAGUCUAUUUAGGUAGAGCCCAUGUCAAACUAGUACCCACCUAGCCCAAAUCUUAUGGGAGGGGUGUGUCUUUUUUUUUUCCUUGUUAUCCUUCCUACAUACCAAUAGGCCCACAAAUAGGAUUUAGGCUAAGACUAGAAGGGGCUUUUAGAAGAGUAAGGCUGAGCAGGCCAAUAAGCCUAAUUCCUGCAGGAAUUCCCAAGCAGGCCCAAAAUAAAAUUUGACAAUUUCAUUGUCUAUGUCAUGUAGUUCUUGAGUUAUGACUGCUCUCAUGCAAGAAAGGACAUAAGUUCCCUUAGUGGCAGAGUCACUCUCCCAAUAAAAUAUCUAAGAUCAGCAAAAGAGUGUGAGAGGUGGUCAUAUCAUGCCAAGUCUGUAAAAUACUUGCGUUGAGCAAACUAAGCAUCAAAGCUUUCCUACAAACUUGCUGCCCUUCCAUAACUAGUAAAAUAUUAUGGAUGAACAGAUUAAAAUGUUGAUGCAUGCAUCAUAAAUAUAUCAUGAGUCCUAUACAUUAUUUUGAGUUGAUUCUUCCCUCCUCUUUUUGUUUUUAAAUUAUAAGUUUCAGAGUUGUGAAUUUGACCAAAAAUAAAUUUAUGAGUUGUUAAUUCCACUGUAACAAUAAGUUCAUGAUGUGGAAGAUAUUUAAAAAAAAUCCCCUAUAUGGAUUGUAACAUGAUUAGCAUAUAACAAUUUAAGCAACAUACAGGUGCAGUUGUACAUGUGUGCAGGCAUUAGCAAUGUGCACCAUAGACUCACUUAUGUAUGACAAUCCACCUUAAAUUGAUCCUAGGGACCGUCCAUUAGAUAAUAAAAUCUCUCUUUUAACCUAAAUAGACCUGAUAAAGCCCCAUUAACUAUUUAGAUUGCUCUCAUCAAUCCUGAAAAUAACCUACUCCACCACUCAUUUCUCUCUUUGCCUCCUAGGCUGAACCAAAAUACCUUCUCCAGAUACAACAAUUGAAGGGUCAAAGCCCUGAAUAUUUUCCCCUCCUUUCCUCUCUUGUAUAGACAUUAAUAUUUUACUUCUCUUUGCAGUUUUCACACCCAUCAACUACUCCUUUUCCCCUCUUUCCUCUCCAAUAUAACUGCUCCUUCCCCUCUUUCCUCUUUCCUCUCCAUUUUCCACAUCUAUCAACUACUCCAUUUCCUCUCCAUAGAUAUUAGUAUUUUACUUCUCUUUCCAUUUUCCAUUUUCCACACCUAUUAGUAUUUUACAUACUCCUCUUCUUCCCUUUCCCUUGGCUACAGCCACCGUUUGCCGAACUGGAUGGUUCAGGACGUUUCGAGCCGUACCGACAGGAAAUUAGGAUGGUUCGGACGGACAAAUCGAAACACCUGAUGGGAAAGAGGGAAAGAGAGGAAGGGAGAGAGAGAAGAGGAGAGGGGAAGAUGGGACAACGCCGUCGGAGGCCGACGGUAGCCUAUCGAGGCCACCGGAGGGCUGUGGAGGCCUCCACAGCUCAAUAUCCCCUGAUAGCAUAUUUAAACUAGAGAGAAAGGGAGAGAAAGGGAGCAACAGUAUCGGAGGGAUGUGCAGCCGGCGAAGAGGCUGUCGGAGGGUGCCAAACGGCCACAGUGGCCUCUCCGGUGGCUUUCCCUUCCUCCUUUUCUUUCCUCUCUCCCCCCUUCCUCUCUCUCUCUCUCUCCUCCCAAAUUCUCCUUUUCUCCCGUGUCGGUUCAUGCCAGUAUGGUUUGGUAUGGACUCAUACCAGCUCGUACCGCCGGCCGGCCGACAUGGGUACUGGUUCCGAUUUCGGCUUCUUUGGCUACAGCAAUAACUAAGACUUUUCUUCCUGUAAUUUCCAUUUAUUGGAUGUGAAUAUAUUAAGUCUGGAAGAGAUAUCUCCUUUCCCAACAUGGCAUGGAAUGGUCUGUAUUCAUCUAGCAAGCACCAAGAUUUUCUUCUCCUUUUUUCCUUCCAGUGGACUUUAGCACCUUGCACCCUCAUUCCUCGUUCUUUCUUGGAUUUGCUAUUGAACAUCAUAUGGAUCUAGAACCAACAAUGAUUGCAGCCCCCUUCUACAGCAAUUUCCUUAAUUCAGCCCAUGCCCGUUUUUAUAUUUAUGAUUAAUGAAACAGCUGAUAACAGACUAUACCGUAGUGUUUCUUUAGGGUUGUUAUAGGUAAUAUUUAGUCUAUCUACUCGAGACGACUCACAGGAACAAGAUAUAGAAGAGAAUAAAGCUGAGCAUAACUAUGAAUUUUAUCUAAUCGUCCAUGCUUUCCUCUUCAAAAUCAAAUUUUGAUGCAAGAGAACAAUCCCAAGUCAGCAACAGGUUACCUUGAAGGACCCGUUAAACUUUGACUCCCUGUUCCAUUCCAGCCCGAGAUUCUUCGACGAUGUCUGAUAGGUAGCCUUAAGCGAAUCACCCCCUUCAAACUUUCUUGUCACCGCAAAAUCCCACGAGUUCUUCGACACGUCAUAACACGGCUCCAGCACAGUCCUCCUCAGCACCCCGUGGGUGUAUACAUACUUCACCUUACAAUUCCCCGAAUCCAAAGCAUAACUCACCGACACCUUGUUCGCCGGAUCGAACGCCACCGAACCAUCGAUGCCCACCCGAUUGUCCCCACGGGCAUGCGUAUAGGUCAAACUCACCGUCUUGUCCAAAACCCUCGCCGAAUUCAUGAACUGAAACCUCACAUCCUGAAGACAAAAAAACAAAGAUCAGAGAUGACACAUGAAAUCACAAACCUAAACCCUAAAAGUCGAAGCUUGCAAGGAGAAGAGGAAUUGGGGGAUGCGACGGAUUGCCUUCUUGGGGACGUUGUAGUCGAUGAUGAAGGAGCCGGGCUUCUCGAGGGAGAGGGCGAGGCCGUUGAGGGAGGGACCGUGGACGAAGGUAGCAUCGGUCAUGGAGGCCUUGAGCUUGACGUCACCGGCGUUGACAGCGAAGGUGGCGGAAGCUGAGCUCUUGUCCACCUCGUAUCUCCCCUUCACAGUCGCCUUCAUCUUGCUAUCUCUCUCCCGCUCUCUCGUCCUGUCCCUGCGCUCGUUCUCGCGGCCUUGGAAGCGGCGGACGGCAAGGACCGCGAGGAGAAAGAGAGAAGAAAGAGCGGCGGUCUGUGGAAUCUCCGCCGGAAUCCAUCCUAAUUUAUCCGCUAGUGGGGAUGAUGCCAGUGGGGUACCGGAGGAGACCUGGCGGCUCGUUUUUAACGUUUUUGUCGCUUACAAUGCUAGAGGGACAUACUAAAGGGACUCUGGAAGGAACCAACUUAGAUGUGUUGAGAGAUGGAGGAUUAGGUGGAUGGGCCCAUGAUUGCCAGUUGGGAGACUUGUUAGGUCAGGAGAGGUCCCAUGCGGCAUGCGUUGCAGGUGGGGAUGGCAACAGGUAGAAUGCCCGCAAAAUUUAUCCAACCUGGAAUCCGGAUCCAUCCCAAAUCUAAUUAUAAAAUUAAUAAAAAAAUUCAAACCCAUUCUAUUUAAAAUUGAUACACCCGCGAGAUUUUUGUCUGAUUAAAUGCUCAUCCAUAUUCAUAUUAUCACAGGAACAAAACUUCAUAAAUAAAUUUCAUAAGCAAAUAUUCAUAUUAUCGCAGGAACAAAACCCCAUAAAUAAAUUUCAUAAGUAAAAGAGAAUCCUUUCUAUCAAAAUUUUUUUAAUCUUAUAAAAUAUUAUACUUUUAUCAAAAUUAAUCUCUCAAAAUCUUAAGGACCAACUCAACAGUGCCACAACUCAUAUAAAAUCUCAUAUGCUUGAUUAAAAACCUCCAAUUGUAACCUAAGAAAUCUCUUUAUAUCUCUCAAGUGCUCUCCUUCUCCACAUGUCUUCAAAAAAGAGAGUGAAAUAAAGAGAAAAUAAAGUCAAAAGAAAAAAAAAUACAACCUAUAUGGAAAAAAUUCUUACCAUUUAUUUUUCUUUUCAUUUUUUUUAUUUUUAUUGAUUUUUUUAAUAUUUAUUUUAAAUUUUACUCUAAUUUUUUGUCCUUAGGCCAGAAGCUUAAAGUGAGUAAAUGACAGCCAAAUAUAAAAGUUCAGGGGAUGGCUAGUGUUUUGUGUUGGUGUUUAUAUAUAAAUAUUUAAAUAUUAAAAAUAUCAUGUCAAUCAAAAUUGUUUCUCCUUAGUCAAAAACUAUUCAAAAAUUUUGAAGUUCAAAACUUCUCAUUCAUCUAUUAUAUAUAUAUUUUAUAAAAAUUAUAAUAUAUAUUUAGAUUCAAAUAGUAGGUAUGGGGGUAAAUUUUAAAUCUAUUUAAUUUUUAAUUUUAAAAUUAUUUUGAAUUUUAUUAAAAUAUGCUAAAUGAUUUGGGGCAGAUAGGAUAUCCAGAAAAAUCUAUCCUACAGCCGUCGCCAGAACCAAGAAAAAAAAAAAGAUAAAAAAAAAUUUUCGUUCUGAUUUAUCUGCUGGUGGGGACCGACGGAUGGUGGUAGUAGGGCACGCUGGAGGAGAAAGGGCAGCUCAUUUUUAACCUUUUUAUCGCUUACAAUGCUAGAGGGACAUUUCCAAGGCACUGGAGAAGGAACCAGCUUAGAUGGGCACGGGAGAUGGAGGAUUAGGUGGAUGGGCCCAUGAUUGAGAGAGAGAGAGGGUUGGAUGGCUGUGUGUAUGGUCAAGGUUGCGAGACUAGUUACGUAGGACAUGCCCCCGUGCGUCGCAGGUGCUCUACUGGAUGGGGAGUGCCCCGGCAUGUGAAAAGCACGCGAUCGGUGCAGGGCGGUCAUGGAGCCCGUGAUUUUAUUAUUGGGUAAAUAAGUUGAUGGAUACAAUUUUACUACCAGAUAGAUAAGACGUGAGCACGUUUCUUGUCCCACCCUGAAACCUUUUUUUUUUUCCCUAUGAAAGUGAGCCCCAACUCUUAUCUACAAAACUCAAUCCUCUUAAAAAUUACAAAAAAAUAAAAAAAAAAUAAUAUUUUAAAAAAAAAUCAUGUAUAUCUAAAUAUGUUAAUAUUUAACAUAUAUAAGAAAAAAUAUUUUAAAAAAUUUUACUUCUUUUAAAAUAUUACACAUGAGAAAGUCGUCUAUAUCUAUGUUGGAACUCACUAUUGUGCUCUUUUUAGGAAUAUUUCCUACCAUGCAUGCAUGCAAAGAAAAAAAUAAAUUUUGAAAUAAUUUUGAUGAUUUUAUACAGCAGUAUUUAUCUGGAUAUGUCAGAACUUAUGAUAUAUAGAAAGAAUAUUUUAGAAAAUCAUGUUUCUUUCAAAAAUAUUUUCUUUCGUGCAUGCAAACUUAAUGAUUAGGAAACAAAUUGAAUUUAAAAUUUUUUAAAAAAUAAUUAACUAAUUCCAUGUAUGCAAAAGAAAUAUUCAAAAAAAUCCAAAAUAAGUUCGAAUUUGAGUAGAAUCCUUCUUAAUUAUUUUAAAAAAAUAUUAUAAAAAAUACAUCAAAUUUAGAUUACUUUAAAAAUUAUUGGUUGUUUAAAGUCCAAGAGGAAAAAAGAAUUUAGAAAAAUUUUCAUCUAUGCAUGUAGAGGUCAAAAAAUAAUAAUAAAUUUCAUAAUUUUAGAAAGCCAUGUCUAUCUAAAUAUGUUAGAAAUCAUCACACAUAUGAAAAAAUAUCUUAAAAAGCCAUAUUUUGUGUUAAGAAUAUUUUUCUCCAUGCUUGCAAACUAGAGGAUUCUUCUCAAUUAUUUUAGAAAAAAAUGAAUUUAGAGUUAUUUUAGAAAUCCAUUAACUAAUUUCAUGUAUGCAGAAGAAAAAAAUUAAAAAAAUUGAAAUAGGUUUGAAUUUGAGGAUUCUUAUUAGUUAUUUUAGUAGAAUAAAUAUUGUAAUUAAAAAUAAAAUUAGAUUGCUUUAGGAAAAAAAUAUUGGCUUUUUAGAGUCCCUGCACAAAAAAAAAAAAAUUCGGAAAAAUUUUCCACCAACAAAGAGGUAAAAAGAUAGAGUUAGGAAGUCACAUAUAUCUAACUAUAUUAGAAAUCACCAUACAUAGAAAAAAAUAUUUUAGAAAGCAAUAUUCCUUUUAGGAAUAUUUUCCUCCAUGCACAUAGAGGAUCAAUUGAAAAAAAAAUUUGUGGACUCUUCUUAAUUAUUUGGUGAAAAUUCAAAUUUAGAGCUAUUCGUAGAAAGCCAUUAACUAAUUCUAUAUACAUGAAAAAAAAUUUAAAAAAAUUCACAAUAACUUCAAAUCUAAGUGAAAUUCUUCUUAAUUAUUUUGGAAAAAAAUUAUUGGCUACGUAAAGUCCACAUACCAAAAAAAAAAAGGAAUUCAAGAAAAUUUUCCUUUUGGCAAUCCUUCUGCAGAUUACUUAUUCUUUUAUUAUAUAAAUUGAUAUUUAUGAUUGCAUUGUUUUCUUGCACAUCACUCAGGCGUCGUAUUGGCAACAUGUUGACCGAAUUGAGUAUAGGCAUUGCAUUCUAGGCAAUAUUAGAAUAGGUAUGAGCAUUGAAAAAAUGGACAUCUUAUUUAGCACUGACAGACACAAUCUCAUUGAGGUUUAUUUUGGUAGGUUUCCCAGUGUUAUUCUUCAAUUUUGGGACAUAGAAGAGAAAAGUCAACAAUGCUGAAAAUUGUGUUUCAAGACACCUCUCUGGAUCCGAGCUCUGGUUGGACUUCAAGCUAGGCCCGAAAUAGUUUAGAUUAGACUUGAGCCUAAUUACAAGAUCUAUUUAUCUUUUGGAUUAGAUUUGAAUGUACCUUUAAUUUGGCCCGAGCUGGACCCAAGCUCGAAUUCAUGAUCAAUAGUUCGAAUAUCUGGUAUGAGUCCGAUCCUUGGUUAAAUAGGUUUAGCUAUUUAAGAUGAGUCAUAAGCCAAUCUGAUCUCCAGUCAGUUAGCCAAUUAGCUAAUCAUGAUAAUAAAAUAUUAGAAUAUUUGUAAAUUUUUAGAUUGUUGUUUGCUUUCUUUAUUCAUAUAUUAUUUUUUUAUUUUUGUAGAUUCGAACUGGCUCAAUAUUUGGCCCAAAUAAGUAAUUUGUGCUGGACUCGAGCUUGGGCGUGAGUCAAACUUGAAUCUGAAUUUUUUUAAAAUUUUCGAACCUAAAUCUAAUCCAAAAUCCAAAAAAAUAUUUCAGAUCGGACUCACGUAAGGAGUGCGGCCCAGCUCAACCCAUUCUAUUCCCAGUCUUAUCUUUUGUUUUCAUUUUUACCAUCAGUAAAGUUUCAUAAACAAAUAUAUAAAAAAAAUAAGCAAAAAAAAAUUGCAAAUAGCAAAAUUACCAAGCAUGUUUGUACUGUUGCGGCUCAUCUUUGUGUAAAGUACCAUUAUAACACUUUAGAAGGACUCGAAGAAAGGGCAAAAUGGGUGCAUUCAUCAAUUCCCACAUAAACGUCUCUUGAUUAUUACAAUAGAUUGUAGCUGUACAUGCCCGUACAUUCCCCUUUUCCACGUUAAUGUUCUACAAAAGUAAAUAGCACAAAUAGUCACACAUUUGGUGGUUAAUUAAAAAGCAAUAGCAUGUAAAUUUGGCAUUUAGUAGUGAAAGUUUGAUGCAAUUUUCUCAGGGAAGUGGUUAGAGCAUUGAUAGUCAGAAAACAACUUGUUUAUACAUAUACUGGUGACGGAAAACCAACGCAAGGAUCAUGCACUUCCUUGCAAUUCCUUGUGCCUAAGGUGCCCCACCAACUUUUCCUGAAAAAAAAAGAGAUGCCCCACAGACUGCUUCUUAUUUAUCAUAAAUACAUGCAUGAAACUGAAUAUAGUUUUACAGCAAGAUGUUUGUCUAUAACAAAAUUUAGUUUAGCGUUCCACCAUGUGUCUGAUGAUCCAUGCAUAACUAUCUGGGAAGCGGCGCAGCGAUGAUUUGACAGUGAGUUGAAGAAGGUUCUGUAGGCACUGAAGAUUGAGCAAAUAUUUUCCUCUCUACCGAAAAGCGAUUGGACCCUCCCAUACUUUCAAUGGACCUCAUAUAUUCUGAGGCAUUGUUCUCAAUUAUCAAUGCAUCCUCCAGCUCUCGGACGAUAUCCACCAUGCUGGGGCGGUACGAUGAGAAGGGCUCGGUGCAUGCUAAUGCAGCCUCUACCACCCUCCACAUUGCCUCUGAAUGGUACUGACCCUUUAUGCUAGGAUCCACAAUUUCUUCAAUCCUUGAUUCCCUAAUGAAUACUUUUGCCUAAAUACAAAUAAUGCAUUAGUUAGAACUGAGCUUUGCAGGGCAAGACUUAAGAUUGCAGAUUUCUGUGUCAUAAUUGAACUGCUACAUUUGAAGGGAAAACAUUUGACUGCCAAACUCAAUUAUUCAUUUAACUAAGGAGAAUGCAAAGUGGCGAUCGUCACGCAGGAUGUACUGUCCAUUUCUUAUAACUAGCUAAAUAUCUAAAGUUAACAUGCAGAACAUCAUAAGAUUAAUGUAUUUAUGAAGCAUGGUUCUAAAAGAUGUCCAGCAUAUCCAGGUGAUAAUGUAAGACAUUCACCUCACAGACCAUGGGUUGGAGAAGAUAGGCAAGUAGAAUUGUGGGACUAUCUCAAAUCACCAUAUGAUAUUGAUGGACAAUCAAAUCUGACAUCUGCCUUGAGGUCAAGGAGGAGAAAGCAUAGACAAUGACCACAUACAUCAUGAAUAGAAAAUGUUGGGUCAAAGUAUGAGCAUGUUGAGAUGAGAUGUGGAAGGAGCUCACCAGUUGAAGGUGAAGUCUAGCUUUAGGUAAGCUCCACUCAAGCUUGGUCAGGGAUAGGAAUGACAAGAGAUAAGACCCCAAUCUUUGUUGAAGAAUUGAUCAACAGAAAGAUUGCUAUAUUAGUGAUCUCAAAAAAAAGAGAGAGAGAGAGAGAAGAUGCAAGGCUGGCAUAAAUGGAGCAAAACAAGACCGAAAAUGGGGGAAUGAUGAAAUUGUCUGCGAUUGUGUCAAAACAUUGUCUCUGUGACAAUGUGAUUUCUAGUUCAUGAUGUUCACUACGGUGAAAAUGCACAAAAACAAACUCAGGUCAUUUCUCCCAAGCAUGGGAAAAUAGAAACCUAUGAAGGGCCACUACAAGGAAAGCAUUUCUAAAAGUUACUUAACAUUCCCAGACUUCAUUAUGAUUUCUGAUAUGGCCAAAAUCUAAAUGUCUAUAGAUAAUCUUGAGCAUUUCUGUUCAUGCUGUCCAUAAGGCGAUUGCAUAUCUUGUAAGAAUUGUGUAGGGAAACAAUGACUAAUGUCCGUCAUUUUAAAAUUUGUGCUGCUUGUGUUUGUCAUCACAUACAGGACCAUCUUUGAAUUAGGAUUUCUUUAAAAGGAAGAAGACACCUUCAACUCUAGAAGCAAGUGUAAAUCUGCAAGAAAUCCAUGUCUAAUAUAAUGUUUUUCCUAUCAUCGUCCUGUGAGGUUACAAGUUGUACAAUGAUAAUUCUUAAAAUUCAGCCAAAGACGUAUAUUUCAGGCAUAAUGUAUAUGCAAAUAAAAACUGCCCACCUGCCACAUGAUUUUUGAAGAAAUCAUGUCUUGUAGUAAGUUCUAAAGAAUGGGAAAAUGGUGUUAUAAAGGAAAAGAAACAGAAAAAAAUGUUUUCUUUAUUUCAUAGGAAAAAAGAGAAGCAUUUUAUGAGUGCAGAUGCAAAAUAAAUCUUAAAAAGGGAUGGCCCAAUGCACAAGCCAUUGCAGGGCCUAGGAAGGGUCAGAUGUAUAUAGCCUUACCCCCAAUGUGGAUAGGUUUCUUUCAUGUCUCAAACCCAUGACCUUCAGUUUACAAUGGAACAACCAAAUCAUUGCACCAACGCUCACCAGUCACCCUCAGAUGCAAAAAUAUUUAUUAGGCCAAAGUAAUUCAUUGUGUUUUCUUGCAAAUGCAUAUUCUAGCAAUAUUGUUCCACCGCAAAGUGCUAAGACAAAGCAAUUGUUCACUGAUUGCCUGGCUAGGGAGGCUGCCACUGGAAAACUUCAUUGUUAUCCGAAGAAAACUUAUCUUUGUGCCAAACUUUAUAAACAUAAAGUUCAGAUAUUAUGUUCAGAAAGGGGAGUAUGCACUUCUUUUGGGGGAGGAACAAGUAUGACGAUAUAAAAAUUGAAAACCAUACCCAUUCAACUAAGCUCCACUCGUUGCGUGGCCUGUGUAUAUUUAGAGGUUCUCUUCCAGUUAUAAUUUCUAAAAGAACCACUCCAAAGCUGAAGACAUCACUUUUGGUUGAUAGCUGCUGGGUCGAAUAAUAUCUGAAAUAAAACAAUGUGAAUAUUUCAGGUUGUAUAUAUAUUUCCAUCUUCUAAUAAUUUUCUGGCUACUGAACAUGACAGGUAUAGGAGAAUAUAAUAAAGCUUGUUAUAACUUUGAGACUUGGUGGCCCAGAAAUCAUUCAGAUUCAGAAGUCAUUUGAUCACAAUGCUAGAGUUUUGAUCAGCUUGCUUCAAAUUCUGUACCAUCUUGCAAUCCAACUCAUGGGCAUAGUAUGCAGAUCAAUAGAUGUUGCUUGGGAAAAUGUUUUGGAUAUGGUUAAAAAAACAUAAUUCAAGCUUAUUCGUGUGCAGCAGCAUGCAAUGCAAUUGCUUACCAAAAAGUUGAACUUGAGUUGAGUAUGCCGCAGUUUUUUAAUAAUUUAGAUGAUUCAUAAUUAAAAAAAAAUUCCAGAAUAUAAGUACUCAAGACAACUGACCAUUACAUCAUUGAAACAUGAUCGAGACAAUAAAGUAGAAACUACCGUUGCUAAAGAUAAGAUGACAAUCAAGAUAGUCAUCUUUCAAACUUCAAUUACUUUGAUUUCCCAAAGGUACAGCAAACACCUUUCUCUACAGAGAUAUAAUGAGGUCAAAGAAGCUUGAAUUUUGAAUGAAUACAAAGAAGUUAAGCUCGAGUUUUACAGAACAAAUUGACUCAGAGCUUACAAAUAAAAUACAUAGAUAACAGAAGAAUUAACAAAAAAUUGAAUGGAGAGCACAAGAAGUCAAGAACACAUGAAACUUUUUGAAAAAAAAAAAACACAGCUGGGACUUGAAGAAAGUAAUGUGCCCAUAAAAUGUCAAACUACUUUCUUGAUGGAUUAGGUACCAAUGCUCGUAAAAAUACAUUCUCCUGAAAUGUAGGACUUUCUUCAAUGAUAACAAUGGGAUCACUUCUUUACUUCAAGAUAGGCAAAUUAUUGUGCAAGGAGCCAAGGAUAGUAGCAUAUAGUUGUAGCGUUUUGCGAGUAAAGAGUAUACCAGCCAUUCCCUCUUUAUGUAAAAGAUGAAGGCUAUUAGCUUAUAAGAGGAGGCUGAGGGCCAGCACUACCAAUUUGUCACCAUCUUAUUACUCUUUUCCAUUUCAGUUUCUUUUUU